This 55887-nucleotide long non-coding RNA is filed under the name Citrus x clementina. RNAcentral describes it as "Citrus clementina (C. clementina) long non-coding RNA (CCLE_LNC001038)". The stretch from base 40306 to 40442 matches the Rfam family "Small nucleolar RNA Z247". Lineage: Eukaryota; Viridiplantae; Streptophyta; Magnoliopsida; Sapindales; Rutaceae. The record is from RNAcentral.
AAUUUGUUGACUUCAACAAAUUUGCACCAACAAUUUGUUGACUUUAACAGAUACAUGGUAGCCAAGUUGGUCAAGUUACCCAAAGAAGGAGGGAUUGAGCCACUUAAGCGAUUCUCGAACAGGUGAAAGGCCUUGAGAUAACUUAGGUGGCCAAUUUGUGGUGGUAUUCUUCCAAAAAAUUGAUUAGUGGAUAAAUAAAGGAUCUUGAGCAUAGAAAGGUUACCAAUUUGAGGUGGGAUGGUUCCAGAAAACGAAUUGGAUGAUAAAUCAAGGUACUUGAGUUUUGAAUUGUUAGCAAUUUGAGGAGGGAUGAUUCCAAAAAUUUGGUUGACUCUAAGAUCAAGAUACGCAAGAUGAGGAAACGAUGAGAAUGAGAAAUCAUGAAGCGUACCUAUUAAACCUGCGCUUGUGAGGUUAAUACUAUUGACUUUUCCAGAAUGGUUGCAAUGAAUUCCAAACCAAGCACACGAGCUUAUUUUGGUGGCAUUAUUAAGAGUCCAUGAAGGCAGGAAAGAUCCUUUAUUAUUAUGAUUUUGAAGGCCAGUUUUCCAUUUGAGAAGAGCGUGGGCUUCUUCCGUAGAAUUUGAAGAAACAAUAAGUGGAAAAUCUAAGGCAGGAAAUAGGAUGAGGAAAAUGAGUGAGAAAAUUCCGAAUUCAUUUUUCAAGUUUGGUAACACCAUUGCGUGAUGGGAGAUCAACUGAGACUCGAUAAUUAUAGAAACAGAAGAGAACAAUUAAAGAUGAGAACAACAAGAAUUAAAGAUUAGCUAGACAAGGCAGAUAGAAAUAAACAUCCAGGAAUGAUAGAUGUACAAAGAAACACACCGAAAGCCAAAUUUAUAGUAACUAUAUACACAAGAGAGCAAAUGAGUUAAUAGAAUCAAUGAUGUGGGCCAACAAGUCAACGCGUCAGCCCCUCUAUAAUAGACUAGUCGUUGUUAAGGAAAAAUGAUAGGUUUUCAUUAAUUUGUUAGUGAUCUGUCAAUUGAGGCCACAUUAAUUGUAUGUAUAUGCUUCUUCUGUAAUGCACGGCAAACAAGUUAUCCACGGGAGGUGGAAAAGUCAAUGCAUGGCAUCAUGUGUUAAGACUUCUAAAGUAGGCUAGCCAGCUACAUUAAUUGGACCAUAUGUGUUGCCAUUUAGAUUUUAUAUAUCUUAACUAAUUAAAUGGGACUAAAUAACGCCUUUCUGUCUAAUCAGACCUUUAAUUAUAUGCUUCUUUUAGCUUUGAUGGAUACCUACCAGGAUUAUGAACCGUCACGGUAUCAAAUUCCAAAUGUCAACCUCAGUUGAUUUAAAAAAUCAAUGCACGAGGAUUGACGAAGAAAUUAAAUACUGGUUACGUAUGUUAAAUUAAUUCUUUUGUAGCAAGGGAGUGAUGUAAAAAAAAUAAAAUUUGAGUAGUGCUAUAUAUUUUAAAUUUUUUAUUUUAAAAAAUUAUCUUAAAUUAUGUAGUACUUAUCAAUUGAUUGAUAGGAAAUAUAAUUAAUUUAUUUGGUUCUUGUAAAGAAUUAUUAGCUAUUUAAUGAAUAACACAUUAUUUAAGAUGAAAUUUAAAAUAUUUAUCAUUAUUUGAAAAAAAUUCUAUUUCAUCCGAAAUUAAAUCAAAAAGUGAAUUUUUAUAAAAAUACAAGAUAGUUAAGUUGGUCAAAUUAGGAAGUGGAAUUGGGGCAUUGAGUUUAUCCUUCCAAGCCACUAUGUGAAGUGUUGAAUCCUAAAACUGGGAUAUCUCCUCGAGUUCAGAUUCAUGGUUGGAUCGGCAAGCUUCUCUAUACGAUUCAAAAUAUUUGACAUUUAAGGGGUAAAAAAAAACUCGGUUAAUAUCAAAGGUACAAAUCAAUCAAUUUACUUAUAAGAAUCCUAUCCGAUAGGCCAUAUCAGUCGAUGACGUCGCCAAUAAUAAUUACAUUGACAAUUUGUCUCUGCUCCUUUCUCAUACAGAUGAACGAGGGUAAAACUUCAAAUCUUUUAAUCUUUCGUUUUUGGUUUUAUUAUUGCAUAAUUUUUAAAUUUUCUCCUAAUCUUGUUUCAAAUUAAUGAAAGUUUAAAAUUUUUGCUAUACUGAUCUGGAGAGCUUAGUUAAUGUACAAUUUGUAUGAUGACAGCACAUGAUCCUUUGAUAUUUAUUAAGCUAAAAUUUUCGGCUUAAUGUUCACAAGAAUAUAUCUUAAUUUGUUAGAUUUUUAUUUGAAGCUGGUUCAGGUGUUCAGGUAGACCAGUUAGUUUAAGUAGCUGAUUUGGAACUUACUCAUGGACAAGUAGCUGAUUUUAUUGUUAGAUCCUUACUCUUCUAUCAAUUCUUAAACUUAGGCAGUGCUCAAUUUCGGGACAGAACUUGUCACUGUAGUUUAUUCUUUUGGAAAAGUCAAGGAACUGUAUUCGGGACGAUGUUUUGCCUGCUAAAGAUUCUAUUAAGUUUUUCAUCAUUUGGUUUAUAUGAAGAUGGAAAACGGACUCUUUCUUUCAUACAUUAUUCUUUUGUUAGAAAAGAAAAAAAUCACAAAUUUGAAUGAAAUAUUGCUCUAUGCUUCGUGGUUGCGGGCUAGCUGAUGCUAUUUGCCUUUUAAAUAGAGUCAACUCGCAAAAUUUUUUCCACAAACAUUCAUGGGUGAAAUCGACCUCUGUUUUUCUGGAUCCUGACUAGCAAAAUUGUUUACUGGGCAUUUGUCUCUCGAAAGAUUAUAUCUGUGUUAGUAAAUCGAGAAAUCAAAGCAACACACUGUAGUUUAACUAUAAGCUAAUAAAGUGGUCGCUUAAAGUCCCAUAUUUUGUGAAUGCCUCUUUUUUUAGUAAUUGGUUGAUAAUUUUUUAAUUAAUAAAGAUUUUUUUUUAAUUAUGUAUUGUAAGAAAGCCUAUUAAACAUCUUUAUAUUUAAUAAUAAUACUACAAUUAAGAAUCAUUGUUUAAUAGAAAAUCAAUAUUUGGUAAACUUAGUGUUAAGAAAUAUGAUUAAUAAUGUUGUCUAACUAUUAGUUAAUUCAUUAUUAUUCUUUCCAAGGAAAAAAAUUAGGUUCUUUACCUUUUCAAUUUCCUAAAAAAAAAAUUUAUUAUUUAACGUAAGAAUCAUUGACUUUUAGUAUUCCUUUUAAUUUUUAUUAAAAAUCUUACAAUCUCAAAAAUCAACAGAUAAAAAAAAAUUCUUACUUCUUUCUCUAUAAAGAAAGUUAUUAAAUUCACUAGUUCAUUUAAAAAGAAAAAAUUAAUUUCUUAAAACAGAAAGUCAAUAUCUAUUAUUUGAUCAUCAACUGAUCAUCUCAACUUUUUAUGUGUUACUAUUCUAAAUAUUAUAUUUGAAAUUAAUAUUAGUCAUAUUUAUUUGUUUGUUUAUUUUUGUAAUGAUUCUAAUUAAAGUAAAAAAGAAUCUUGUUGAUUUUUUUUUACGAUUUUGAACGUAUAGAAGACAUUUCUAUUUUUUCUCGGAAAAUAUUUUGAAUUACUAUUACCACUGCUUAACUUUCAAUUUGCCUCUGACCAUCAAAUCAAAUGUGAACGACCCUUUUAAUUUGUUUAAAUUCAAGAAUUAAAGAUGGAAUUAAUUUUGAAUCUUUUUAUGCUUAUUUAAAUAUUAAAAUUACAUAAUAAAAAGAGGGCUAUAAUAAAACUUCGCCUAAGACGCCAAAAACUCUAAAACUGGCCCGCUAAACUUUGCAAGCAACAUUAAUUGGUCUGUUUGUGUUGGCAUUCAGAUUUUACAUAUCUUAACUAAUUAAUGGGGACUGAAUAUUACUUUUCUAUCCAAUCAGGCCUUUAAUUGCAUGCUUCUUCUAGCUUCAGCGGAUAUCUACCAAGAAUGUAAAUCGUCACGGUAUUAAUUCCAAAAUGUCAAUGUAUCAUUUGUAGAAUUUAAAAAAACUGUUCUUUCAAGAUAACUAUUUUAUAUUUUCAAUUACCAGCAAAGCGUCACGUAUGCACCCAAUAUCAUCCCGUGCAAACUCUUGAAAAAUCAGUGCAUCAUUGAGAUAAAUAUUUGACUCAGCUGUAAGAAUCCCAAUCACUAUUAUAAAUAAUUACAUAAAAUAUGAAAAUUUUGCAUAACACGUAUCAUGUCCUUUGUCUUACAUUGAUAAUUGAUUCUAAUGACUAAAUUUUGGUAUUAAAGUAGCAUUAGCUAUAGGUAAUCAUUGUACAAGAUUUUUUAACUUUCAAGAUCUUUUAUUGAUAAUUAGAAUAUUAAAAAAUUAAAUUUUAAUGUGGGAUUAUAAUUGAAUAGUAUCCUGUAAAUAGUGCAUAUAUGUAGUCUUAUGAAAAAAGGAACAAGUAUUAACUGAUAAAACAGAAAAAAAAACAAAGUAAUAAAUUAAUCAAUUAAUUUUCCACUAUUAUCUUUCCUUUUGUGUACGUAGUUAAUGAAUUUUUUUUAAAACAAAAAGAAAUUUAAAAUCACUCUUAUUAUCAUUCAAUUAUAAUGUGGCUCGAAGCCUCAAAGUUCAUCUGAGAAAAUUACUAUAAAUUCUCAGCAUAUUGAUCUAUAAUUGGUUUAGACUCUGGAGUCUCGUAUGAGAAAAUUAGUAUAUUAUUUUCCAAAUUUUAGCACAUCAUUGAGACUUGAUAUAGAAACACGGGAAUUUUACAGUAAUAACCAUUAAAGUUUUGAUUUUUUUCAUCUUAACCCCUCAAAAAUAUUUCUAUCAACAUUAGCCAUAAAACAAUUUUUGAGACCAAAAUACCCCUCCUUCAUCUCUCCCCCAAAAAACUUGUUCUGUGGCCAAAAAGCUUGAUUUUUUUUUUAUAAAAAAAAUCUAAUCUUUUGCGGCUUGUUGCAUGAUUUUAAGAUGGAAAAUUUGUCAAGUUGUAUUCUAUCAGCAUUAUUAUUAUUAAUGCUUUCACCUGCAAAUCCAUUGAUAUUCAUUCCCCCUUCCAUAAUCUUCGUGCCCAAAUUGCUUCUAACUUUUCUCGACUUCGACGCGGGUGAGAGAUUGCUUUUCCUUUCACCUUUUUGUUUUCUUCCGUUUAGCUUCAUUAUUUAAAAAAAAAAAAAACCGAAACAGAACAGAAACAAAAGCUUCAGCCCGCGGCCACCGUCCAAGGCUGCCGGCUCUCGUUUUCCGUCACCGAUCCGGAUGCAACCACCACUAAAGGGAUCAUAAAUCGCCGGCCAUCAAACCCCAAGCAUCGGACACCGUUGAUUAGCCACAGAUCGCCGGAAAAACAACCAAAACAGCCGCGCCAACCGUGCCGUCAUUCACCGGUUUCCGCCGCGAUUUAGCCAGCACCACCGUAAUCAAUCCACUCCUCUCCACGAGCUCAACCUCUUUCGUUAUUCCCCACCUCCGAUCGACCAACCCAUCGCCGGAAUCUAAGCAUCACCAAACAGUUACAACUUAUCUCAAAUUUCCGGCCAAAACGCCACCGUUUCCGACGAAUCACAAACAUCAUCAUGAACAACUUCAAAACUUGGUGCGACAGGCACCUGUCGCACCAAAACUUGUUGCGACAGGCACCCUGUCACCAGAUUCAUCCCCCGACUCAGAUCAAUAAGUUUGAAAAUAACUCAUGCCACGAUGCCGAUUAGUUUUGGUCUGUAAAGAAGGGUAAUUUGGGGAGAAAGGCUUGUGUUUGGCUAAUGUUGAUAGAAAAAAGUUCAGAGGAUUAGUUGCAAAAAUAAUAAAAUAUUUAUGGUUAUUUUCGUAAAUUUCCCUAGAAACAUUAGAAAACAAUUAAAGAUAAGAACACCAAUAAGAAAGUUUAGCCAAAUUUAUAGAAAUACACAAGAAAGCAAAUGAAUGUAGUCAAGCUUGCAAGAGGUCAAUUAGUCAAUGCGUCAACACCUCUACAUUACAUCAAAUAUUUUAAGAUAUCCAUUUUCCAGCACUGGAUCAAAAUUUCUCAGUCAAGAAAUAAAAGAGGAUUGACCAAGAAAAUUGGGAUUGUACUGAUUGAUUGAACCAACAAAAUUUCAAUCUCUAUCCCUACCAAACGCACUAACAAAUUUUCGAUUUCAAUCGGAAUCGGUCUACACCUACCAUACGCACCAAAUGCCUGAUGGGAUGGUUCAUCACAAUUUUUCCCAAGCCACUUCUAUUGCAGUAACUGGUAGGCCCAGUAGUUAUACUUUUUUCUGGGCGCUGGACAUGUCGAGAGCAAGCUCGUUAUUGCUCGUCUCCCCCAAAACAAAUUAUGUCUAAUCUCACUUUUUUACGGGCAGAGAAAAUUCCAUUUAGUGUGAGCUCCUUAUUAGUAACUUUCCAAUGUAUGUUCCUUUUAGAGAUGUAUAUAUGAAUGUUAGGAUGAUUAAUUGAUUAUUGAAUAGGUUAUUUGCCAUACAUGCUCCAUAAUGGUGGGUUUUGUGGAUAACAAAUGUGUAGAGCAUCUAGUAUAUGAAAUGAAGGUAUUAUAAGGUGUAUUUUUUGCCAGCCUGAGACUCUUGUUUUUGGUUUUGUUAAUUAGUAAACCCCAAAUUAAAAAGCCCAAUUCAUAAAAGAUUCCAUGGGUAGUGCAUACAUUUUUUUUUUGUCUCUUCUUAUCGGCCUUUUUCCCUCUUCUACUUUUAUGGAUACAAAUUUCAAGGAAUAAGCCCUAACUUUUUUUUUCUCACUCUCUUCAAUUAAUAAACUUUACUCUCCUUUCAAAAAAAAAAAAAAAAAUUUUAAUGCAAUACAACAUAAAUUCUAUUUCCAAAUUUAUUUUUUGCGUCUUUCAAUGCAUUAAUAAUCUUUUUAAUGCAGUGCAAUAUAGUGUAAUCUAAGUUAUUAAACGCACGCUUAAUGUAUACUACUAUAAAAGAAAAUAAUUGGUCCAUAUGUGUUGCCAUUUAGAUUUUAUGUAGCUUAACUCAGAGGGUAGUAAUAGUAUUGUUCUGCGACUUCUGUCGAAUCAGCCCUUGAAUUAUAUAUGCUUUCUUUUUAGCUUCAAUGAAAAUCUAAAAGAUUAUGAAUCGCCGAACAAAAUGGUAACAAGUACACAAAAAUCAUAUUGUUUGAUCUUUUUAAAUUUUUAAUUGUAUUUUUGUCACAAUUUUAUCGCUAUUAUGUUCAAAAAGCAUUUUUCGGAAUAAAAACCACAAAAGAGAUAGCGUCUUCAUUAAGUCAAGAACAUGUUAAAAUGGUUGGAUUUUCCAAUGAAACAAUUGACUGAUUCUCAAAAGUUUUUCUACAACGAUUCUUCAUUCUUGUAUCUAUUUCCCAAAAGAGCUUAAAAAUUAAGUAGUCCUAGAAGAGAAUUAAUUCCGGGAUCAAAUUUAAUGGGCAAAUUGACCUCUGCCUUUUUGGAUUUAUCCUGACUAACUAAUAACUUGUUUACUGGUCUUAAAAAGUUUCUCCUUUAUACAUUUUCCAAAAGAUCUUAAACACUUUUCCGGAUACAUAUAAUUAAUUUUGUGAUCAAAAUUAAUGGGCAAAUUGACCUCUUUUUAUUGGAUCCUGAGUCCUGACUAACUUGUUGAUUUAUAUUUUUUAAAAAAUAAUGUGAACUUGUUAUAAUUAUUUUCUAAAAUUAGGGGCGGUUUACAAAAUUAGUGGAGUGAAAAUAUUCCCACCUUUUGUGAUUUUCCCUUACAACUUUUGCAGUUUUACAUAUCACCCCUGUGCCUUUUCAUACUCAUUUUAGACUUUUGCUUCUAAAAGUUUACUCCUAUGAAUUUUGGCCCUAUUAUAUUUUUCUAGAUCUUCCUAGCUUCCGCGAUAGUUUCAUGUAGGGUAAAUGGUAACAAAAUUCAUGCUCGGAACUUGAUUAUUUUAGGAUUCAAGAUAUUAAUUCAUGUUGUGUUGAGAGUGAUAAUAGUCAGAAAAACCUCUCCAAAGUCAUGUUUUUGGGAUCAAUUAUUUUUGUUAUUAUAAGGAAGCAAUAAAUUAAUAGAGGUGUAGUUACAAAAAUUAAUGUUUUGACUUAAUUAUCCUUAGUGCAAAUGAUAUAAAGGUAACGUGUGCAUGACAUUAAUAAUUAUUUGAAGGAACAUGUCAAAUCUAAUGUAUAUACAUUGAUAAAAGAGAUUAAAAUUAGUGCAUAUGUCUAUGUAGUGUUAUAUGUAGUGUUAUACUAAGUCAUUCUAAAAGUCUAGCGUUUACAUUCUCUUAAAUGUUUUUCUCUUAAUAUAAAUUAUCCCAAACAACUUUAAAAAUAAUAUUUUAUUUCAUUUGAAACCUUUAAUGUAACAUGGCAUAAAGUUUUUGGAAUAUAGAAAUAAUUAUUGUGAUAUGGAGGCUAGUUUCUUAAAAUGUGAUUUAAAAAAACUAUAACUUAUCUUAUUUUGGAGUUUACUCUUAUUUGUAACUAGCCUGAAUUGGGAUAAUAAUUUUUUAUAACUAUAUACAAUUUAUUUGUAUAUAGUGUAUCACUAUAGAGAAAUUUUAAUAUAAAAUGGAAUAAUAUAAAUGUGUAAAUUAACAAAGGAUUUGGCUUCAAUGAUGGUAGAUAAUUUUAUCAGGAGUAAAAGAAAAUAUUAUUAAAAACUAUAGUUAAUGAACUAGACUUCGCAAAUUUUUAUGCGUCACUAAUUGACUAAUUCUUUUCAUCGCGUCUGGACUCUGGAUUCUGAUCUAAGCAUGAGGAAGGACACCUACAAGAUUGACAUCAGUUUAUUCAGAACAUUUCAUUAAUUAAGUUAUUUAUUAAUUGAAAGAUGAAGGUGAAAUUUCUGAAAGAAAAUCUCCUGGAUGCUCCCCUUUGAUUACGUCCAAUGCUAACGCACUGACACUGUGCACAUCGCAUUUUCCAACGACCUUCAUGGUGUGGGCGCGCCAGCUCUGCAAAUUGAAAGAUCAAUAUAUAAAUAUAAUCAUCUUAAUUUGCAGCACCAAGAUAAUUGUUCAAUGUAAUUGAAAAAAACAUCAUGAUAAUGUACGUGAAGAUUCUUUUACUUAGCUUGAUUUAUUUAUUGGCUUAAUAACAAUAUAUAUAGGAAUAUCUUAUAGUUAUAAACUCAAAUAAGCUACAUACCUCCACCUCCAUUUUCCAUCUUCAUCAUUUUGUUUAUAUUAAGACGGAAAACGGACAUUUUUCUUUCAACCGACAUUUCGUUUUGAGUGAAUUUGUUCAUCUGCAUUGUCGUGUCCUGCAUUGAUUUUAAUGUCGUCCACAGCCAACGAGUUAGCCGCAUGCAUGACACGUGAUCUUCAGAAUUAAAACGGCAUGUUUUUGCUGUCGUUUUCGAGUCUCAUAAACUUGCAGCUGCUGAUCACGUGAUUCACGACGGUUAUGGUUGUUGCUUUUGGCGGGAACCAGCUGGCAGCUAACAAGCCCGGAAACAGACUUUCUAAGGCUGAUUCUUGUGUGCAUUUCUUAGAUCUAAUCGUGAGAAUUGAGAGAGAAAUUAUAUUUAUCUUAACUCUUGGAUUCAAUAUAGUGAAAGCUUGAAGCUUGUUUCCUCAGUGGAUGUCCGCACUGUCAAUAGGUGCUGGACCACUUAGUUCUUGUGUAUUUGUCUUUGUUUUGUUUCUGUUCAUUGUCGAUUAUUGAGUGCGUACAUUUCUUGAUCUGUUAAUCUUGCAUCUUGAGGAUAGAAUUAGGUUUUCGGGUGAAUUUAAUCUGAUUUACAAGGGUUGAAUUCACAAUAAUUGUUCUUUUAGUUUUCAUGGUGUUGACCGAUUCGUGCUUGUAAGAAAAGAAAAAAUUACUAAUUUGAAUGAGAUAUUGCUCUAUGCUUCGUGGUUGAAGGCUAGCUGAUGCUUUUUUGCCUUUUUCAAAGUUGGAACAAAAUAUAUAUAUAUAUAUAUAUAUAUAUAUAUUUUAAGGGUAUUGUUUGUUUAAAAUUGAAUUUUUUUCCUUACAUCUACUGUUCCUUAGUCAGUUUAAAUACCUAUAUAUUGUCUUAUGCAUCUUUAUGUUAUUGGCUAUUUGUUCAUUUUUCUGCUAGACGUGUUUCAUAUUUAAUUAAGAAUCUGUUACAGGUUCUUAAUUAUAUGAGAUCUCAAAGACUAAUGGAGGUAGGUCUGUACUUUUCUACUGGCAGUGGCAUCCUAUUUUAUGCUUUGUUUCUUAAAAAUGGUUUUGCAAAAAAUUUUUGGAAGAUAACGUUUACCGUCUGUGCAGUGAACUGAACUUCAGCAAGUACAAAAAGGAAGAUUGGGUGGUUGUAAAAGAAAGUAAUUCUUAAGAAUCUCUCCAUCUUCGACAUUGUAGAAGAAACAAUUUCGGUCAGAAAAUGGGAUCACUUGCAAAGAAAGGAUUGCAACAGUUUUUGACACAGCUUCAGCAACAUGCUUUGAGAAAAAAGUUCCUUUCUUUCUCAACUGUUUCGUUGAUUUGUUUAAUUUCUGCCAUGGAUUUCUUUCUUUUCUUCUGUACUAUUUUCUGUUUGGUGGCUGAGAAAGUUGAAGAAAGCUUGAAUAUUACUCUAUGCAGGCAGUAACUGCUGGAGUGCUGCAAGCAACCAGUGACAUAAUUGCUCAGAAACUCAACGGGCAUUUACGAAACUUCAGCUGAGGAGGCUACUUAAAGUGGUCAGAUUUUUCACAUUGCAUCUCUUCUAUAUUUGAUUUUCUGCCGUAACUCAAGAUAGCUAUAGUAUUCCGUGUUGUUAAUCAUUGCGUUUUGAUUUUUGUGUUUCACUGGAACAUUAGCUUUUAGCAUCUUCCAAUUGGUGAUGGGUGCUCGCAAUUCAUUUUUUCAUUCAUACUCUGAGUUUGGUGAAUGUUUUAUAUUAAGAAUUCAGUCCAUAGUUGCCAAAAUUUAUGUCCUAUUAAGCUUCAACUUUCUCUCUAGCCAUUUUCAAAACUUAUUCAGUUAUCUGCUCUGCAUCAAAUGCAUGCUUUCUCUUUAUACUGUGUAUUUGGUGCUCGUAAUUUUUGUUGACAUAUAUCAUCUCCGCUAUGAGGCUUGGUCAGAGGUUCGCUUCCUACAAAAUAUCUUGAAAAGGGUGACCUACAUUGUGGGAUGGGUAAUCAGAUAAGUCUACUAUCAAUUCCAUGCUCUCUUCCAAAUCCACAUAAAUAUGUAUUCCACACACCUGGUUGCUAGUGCACUUAAAUAUGCGAAUUUAUCUAAAGAGGAGAUACCUUUGUACAGUCUGUUAAGUAGGUAAAUGCCUGGUUUUGUUCAUGACUGCCAAACAUCUGACUAAGGAAAUGUGGCUUCAAAAUCUAGUGAUGCUAAAAUUUGAAGAUGGAAGUACACAACCACCUUCAGCGGAUGACUUGUUUGGUAUUUUGGGUUUGGAUUUUAAGGAUAAGCUACUUAAUGCCAACUGGAAUUAUUUGCUUGCUGAUGAGCAACAUACAGGUGAGGAUAGUACAAUGUCUAUGAAUGCUCCUGAACUGAGUGCUGGUUUCUAUUCAGUUAAAGAAGGAAUAUUACAGAGCAGUUCGUUAUCCGGGAUGGGUACCAACCAUCUUUUCGAAGCUGUGGUCUCUAGGGCUAACUUUGUCUGGAAGCAGAUCUCAGAUGAUAAUGUCUCUUAUAGGACAACAUUGACACAAAUCAGUAGCUCCUCUAUUCCUACUAAUUCUCUUUCCACUGCCCAGGUUAAUUUGUCUGAGUGCAAGCGGAGCUAUUGGCCUUACUAAGUCUUGACGAAGGCAGGGACUGGGGAAUCCAACUCUUUUCAGUCUCGUUGGAGCUAGGAUAAUGGAGGAAAUUGUUCUCAAACUACUUCCAUAUGCGGGUCCCAUAUCAGUUCCUGGGUAGAACAGGGUCAAAGUGUGAAGCGUGACGGUAGUGUCUCGACUACGUAUUCUGAGAAAAAUGAUGAAACAGCUAAAUCAAAUAGCAGAAGACUUAAUCUUGGUGAGAAGAUGAGGGCCCAAAGAUCACCAGAUGAUUCAAGAUCGCGUUAAAGAGUUGCGAGAAAUUUUACCAAACAGGGGAAAAUUAAUUGCAUUUAUUUUCACUAAUUAUCUUAACUUCAUCUGUGUCUUGUCAAUAGUAAUUUAUAUUUUAAUAUUGAUAUUUGUCUUUAUUCCCUUAAUAUGGUUCAACAUUGUAGGAUUGUGUAGCAUAGAGGCACUUCUAGAACGUACCGUCAAGCACAUGCUGUUCUUGCAGAGUAUGACAAAUCACGCUGACAAGCCUAAAACAAACAGGGGAAUCAAAGGCAUAGGGGACGUCUAAUUUUUGUACUUUUACCAUCAUAUUUGGCGUACGAGUUUAAAUUUAUUACAUAAAGUUUUCUCAGCUGGCAGUCAUCAUGCCUGAAAUUGCAUAUAGUCAGCAAGGAACGUGGUUUGCUUUUAAAAGAUAACUUUGAGGAAGGGACAACAUGGGCAUCUGAGUUGAGGAUCUGAAUGCACCACGUUAGCUGCUGGUGGAGGUAGUAAAUGGCCUGUUCUUUUGAGUAGAAAUUGUUUGGUUUGAAUAAAUGCUCAUAUCUGUGGGAUUGUUGACAAAUGCUUUGUGGGUAACGGGGUUUCUUUUUGGAAAUAGCUGAGCUAGUCAGGGGAUUGAGGUACCAUAGGAAUGUUGCUGUAACAGAUGAACUAUAAUAUCCUACUGAACUUAUUCUAAACGUGAGAUGGCCGCCCUGGUUGAGUAGUCAUAACACUCCAUGUUCAAUUACAUGGCCGUUUGAUGAUUUUCACUUAGCAGAAAAUGAAUGAUUUAUACGCAGCUUAUUAGAGCAGUUUAAAUAUGUGAACGUAGGCCAAUUUCUUUAGGGGUUUAUUUCAGAGAAACUGAAAAAAUGCUGUUAGUCCACAUUUUAAAAACUUUCCUUCUUUUCAAAUGGGUAUUUUUAAAAUGCAGGAUGCUGUAUAGUUAUUUUAUUUUAUUUUUAAUGUUUAUAAUAUUUAAACUUUUCUUCUAGCAGGCAUAGACUAGUUAAAUCCCCUUCAAAUAUUAUACAUAAAGUUGUUAUCUAUGAAUAUACUAGCUGCAGUAAGAAUAGGAUUUGGCUUCUGCACGGCGAAGCUAGGGAACUUAAAAUGUUCGACUUUUGUCAAUUUCGUCAAGGAUUAUGUUCUUAGGGCAUGUUUGGUUGGGAGGAGAGAAUGGGGGAGAGGAAAGUAAUUCAAAUUCUAUUUUUAUUUUCAUUGUUUGGUUACACAAAAUAUAUAAGAAUUUAAUUUCCAUUAAAAUUUAAUAUCCCUUAUAAUGUAGAAUUUGAAUUCCACACCUAAAAGUGAAGAAUUUAAAUUCCUUUUAUGUUGAAAACCCAAACUUCCAAAAUUACCCUUCAAUAUUUUAACUUAUUUAAUGUUAUUAAUUAUUAUUAUUAUUUAUAAUUUUAUUUUAUCAAUUUUAUAUUAUAAAUAAUUUUAUAUUAACCAAAUUUAAUGAAUAAUUUAAAAAAUUUAAUAAAAUAAAUAAACUUAUUUAUUUAUUUAAUAUGAAAAUAUGUAAAUAUAAAUUAACUAUCGUUGGGAUUAUUGUCGGAACUUCACCGGAUCAUUGCCGGAACUUCGCCGGACCAUCGCCGGACUACUACUGGCCAACCGGAACUUCGCCGGACCUCCGUCAAAAAGUCACCGGCCACCAUUGACCAGCGGUUGACUUGUGUUGAUCGGAUUUUAAUUAUAUUAAAUAAUAUUUAAUAUUUAAUUAUAUUAAAUAGUUUAGUAUAUUAAAUUAUUUUAUAUUUUAUAUUAAAUAUAAAUCAUGAAUUGUUUUAGAAUUUUUUAAAAUUAAAAAAAGUUUGGUAUUAAUAUUAAAUUACAUUUUAUUACUAAUAUAGGUAAUUUAGUAUUUAAGGCAAAGGAUAAAUUUGUCCAAAAAAAAAUACAAUUCCUUUCCCUAUCAAAUUUUAUGUCAAAGCAAACAAUUAAAUUUAAUUUCACUAUUCUCUUCUACUCCUCUCUUCUCCUUUUCUCUCCAUUCCACUCUUUUCCUCUCCUCUCCUUUCUUAAAACCAAACACCACUUUAAGGUUUAAAAGAACAGGCCUUUUGUUUAUGGAAAAAACCUACCUUCAGUUGAAAUGGAAAUAAUUUUUUUGUCGUUCUCCUGAACAUGUAUGCUGCAGUCUACCCUAUCAUAAGUUUGUAACCCAAUAUUAACUUAUACUGUAUGCUUCAAAAAUAAAUUGUAGGCUAUUUGUUUAAACUCCAUUUCGUAUUAGCAAUCUUUGUACAUUCACUUACCGUAUGUUUGGUGAACAGGCUACUGGGAUGUGACAAGGAUGGAAAUAUUUAUGUCACUUGUUCGUCUUUUGGAGCAAACUGUGAAGAGCUGUACCUUGGUAAAUGCCUUGGAUAACGACAAUGUGAUGCUCCAUCACUCUUUUCCCCCAGCCACUUCUAUUGCAGCAACUAGUAGGCCCAGUAGUUUACAGCGAGCCACCAGCUAUUAAUACUUUACUGGGCUGGAUAUGUCAAGAGCUAGCUUGCGCGGCAUCACUUGCCAUGACUGACAUGGUUCCAGUCGGCACUCAGGUGGUUCUAACUAACUCGUUCAUCUCCCCCAAACCAAAUUAUGUCUAAUCUCACUUUUUUAGGGAGGGAAAAUUUCAUUUAGGUAAUUGUGCGAGCUCCUUAAGAACUUUUAAAUGUGUGUUUCUUUCAGAGAUGUAUAUUUAUGUUGGGAAAUUAUACUUUUUAAAAACAUAUGUGUUUAUUUAAUUGUAAUAAAUAAUUUUUCUGAUUAAUAAAAUAAAUGAGGUAUUUUAUUCAAAUAUCUUAAUUGCAUUAAUAUUUAUAUUAAAGUUCAUUUAAUCAUAUUAUAUGUAUUUAUGUGAUCACCAUGUGGAUUCACAGAAGACAUAAAUACAAGUUAUCUUAUGAUUAAAUAAAUUUAGUUCGCAGUUGAUAAAUAAAGUUGGGCACUUUAUUUAGGUAUAGACUGUAAUAAAUUCAUUGAAUGAUUUAUCUUAAUCAUGUAUGAAUUUAUUGAUGUAGUACGACUACAUUGAACAGGAUCACAUAUGAGAUUUAAUUAACUUUGUAAUAACUAUCAGACUUAUUAAAUCUCAUAGGCGUUGAUUUUACUGUAAUCUUAAUCUUAAGUUAAUUAUGAUUUCAUGAUUGUAAUUGUUAUUCCAUUUGAGUUACCAAUGGGCACGACACAUCCUUGUAGUCAAGAUUACCCGGUAUCUUGGUGGGAGCAAUUAUGAGUAUUGGAGUUAUGGAUUAACAAUAUAGAAUUUGUACAACACAUCUCUUGAUGGGUUUUCGGCACUUGAUCAUAGAAUUCUCUGGCCAGAGUGUGUCAACAUAUUUAGUAUGUUGAAAAUGAUCAUUAGAGAAAACCAGUAAGGAUCAAGGAAUAAGAUGUUAUUAAAUUGAUUGGACAGUUGAGAUAUCAAUUUAAUUAACGAUGUGGUACAAAGGAUUGUGCAGUAAAGAAAUCAAUGUGGCUGGGGACGAAUUAUUAUUCGAGCAUACAAUUAUGGAAGUCAGUUCCAAUCUUUUAGUGGAGUAGAUUUGGAAUUAAAUAAUUAGGCUAGUUUAAUUACAGGCCUAAUUGUUAUAGCCACUAUUGUAUGUUCCCAAAUGAUCCCCGGAUCAUUUAGGCUAGUUUAAUUAGAGUAGAUUUGGAAUUAAAUAAUUAGGCUAGUUUAAUUAGCUUAUGUGUAAGGGGCCUUAUGUUAUUUUACAUGGUGGGUCUCCUAUUAAAUAAAAAGUAACGUGAGUUUUAUUUUGGGCAUUAUUUGAAGCCUAGGGUUUUCACUAAAUGGUGAUAUAAAAAGCUUAUUUUUCUCAAAAGAAAGGAGAGAAGCCACUUUAUACAAAUCGGAGAAUAAGAUUUUUCUCUCUAUUGUUCAGAGAAAAAUUUUCUCGUGCUAGUUGCUUUGGUAGUGAUAAAGGCGCCCACACGUCAAGUGCAGAUCGAACCUGAGUCAUAACCUAGAAGAUCAUUGGUGACAGUUCGUGAUCUAACAAGCGUGGUGGUGACGGAUCGUGAUCUAACAGGAGUGGUGGUGGCAGAUCGUGAUCUAGGAGCCUAAAUCAUUUCAGCGGAAAAAGCCAACUCGGAUUUUCAAGGUACGAUUUCUAGAAUACAAAUUCUUAUAUAUUAUAUGAGAGCGAUCUUCAAAAGGUUUUAUAAAAAUUUUAAAAACCUCAUUUUUCCCCAACAAUUGGUAUCAGAGCCAUCUCAUAUUAAUAUAUAAGAAUUUCGUAUGAAAUUAAUCUUGAAAUUAUGUAUUAGAGUGGCACAAUUUAUUCAGAUAUAUUUUAUUUGUUUAAUAUAUGAAUAAAGCAUGUUUUGGUUUGUCUUAAUUCAUGGUUAGAUUUUUUGUUGUAUUUUUCUUUGGAUCUAUAACAAGAGUGAUUUUUUAUCAUCAUGUUUCUCUCUUGAUUUUUUCACUGUUAUAAGAUUUUUGUAAGCCAAAAAUUGGCCUAGGAAAUUUGUAAAUCAACGGAUAAUAAUCACGGAUGUCAGAUCAGAGGAAACGGAGGCCGGAAAUUUCAGAAGCAUGCUGCCAGCAGCCACGACCAACAGCAGCGCGCGCGGCCCGCGUGGGCAGCAGCGUGCGCGGCUCGCGUGGACAGCAGCGCACGCUGCACGCCCAACAGUUGCCGCAUGCGCGCUGCAAGCGCGCUGCGUGCGCAGUGGCUGGCAGCUGCAGCACGCGACCAGCAGCUACAGCGUGCAACCAGCAGCGUGAGCAAGGGCUUCCAGUUGCGCUCGCGUCGGUUGAUGUUUUCCGGUGUGACGGCGGCAGCAAAUCGGCGUCGGAGAUGCGUGAACAGUCGCUGCCCUUUGUGGAGAUGGCGGCUGGGGAAGAUGAAAGGAAGAAAAAUAUGAUUUUAGGGUUUCAUAGUUUUUAUUAUGUAGGUCCGUAUGAUUUCAUAAGUUUUUUUUCGGGCAGAAAUGUUUCAAUAUUUUGCAUUUAAAUCCAAAAACAGUUUUGAACUUAAAGAAUCUUAGUUUUAGGCCCAAUUAAUAUUUGGGCUUAAUGGAUUAUAAUGCAUAGAUAAAUUGAACACAUUAAAUCUAUUUUUGGUCUAAAAGUUUUAUUUUAAUAAAAAAAUUUUUUUAAUUAUUUAUUUCUUUUUAAAAUUAAAAAUUGGACCAAUUAUAAAUUUAAAAACCCAAUUUCUCCUAGUCCAUUAACAAAAACAAGAUUAUGGAAGAUGGACAUUGACAAGAAGCCCAAUAAAGAUUAGACUUAGAGUUAAUGUAUUUUUCAUUAUUAGGAAAGCCAUGAAUUAAGAUUAUUUAAUUGUUUUUCUAUAUGUUAUGUUUUGGAUGAUAACAUGUCAUAUAGAAUAGGUAGUGCCACUCUAUGCAUAAUGAUACAUGUCAUUUAUUAAUUAUGAAUUUCAUUAUAUUGUUUGAAAUUUGCCUAUGCUUAAUAAUAUUGGAUAUCAUCUAGAUAAUAUUAUAGGAAGUAUGCAAUUAACAAUAUGUAUGUUUUAAAAGGAAAAACCAAUUUUAAAAUAUUGAGUGGGAGAGGAAAAUUCAAGAUAAUUUUUCCACGGGCUCCAUUGUUAGUUCAAUAAUAAAAUUAUAUAUAUACCUCGACUUCAUGAUACGGUGAUACUCCCUUCGGAGGGUAUAUAUAUUAGAUAUUUUAUUUGAUGAACUUCUUCAAAGAUAAAAUUGAAAUAUUUUUCAAUCGAUUGUUCACCCCAACGGUGACUAUUGAUAUGAAAAAUACGUAGAUUGAAACAAUGGUUAUACACUCAACUAAAGUUUGUUAUUAACCUUCCCAACGAAUCUCUGUUAACAAAUUUAGGCCCAAAGGGAUAACGAUAAUUAUUUAUCAUGUCUCUACAUAAAAGUAAAUAAUCUAAUGGAUAAUUGGGUCUAGUAAGUGUACACAUGACUUCCCCAACGGAUAGCUUGUCAAAGCGGUACUAGAUUAUCGUUACAAUAAAUUAAAAUGCAUUUAUGAUUUUUUACAUUUUUGUCAUUUAUUGUGAAUAUUGUUUGAAAGUAUUUAUGCAUGUCUAUUUUGUUUUUUCAGAAAAUGUCUUCCAUCAACUCAUUAUUAAUUAUUCUUGUUAAAAAUGAACUCACUGGCGAAAAUUAUUUAGAUUGGAAACGCAAUUUAUUUAAUAUUCUCACUGCUAAGGGAAGCAAAUAUGUGUUGACCCAGCCUUGCCCUCAUGAACCAUCGUUAUACGAUUAUAGAAAUCAGAGGGAGCCUUAUGAGAAAUUGUGCGAAGCUAACAAAAUGGCUAAGCGCUAUAUAUUGGCUUCGAUUUCUGUGGCACUGCAUAAGAAACAUCGGAGCAUGGAAACAGCCACUGAAAUUAUGGCUAGUCUUCAUCAGAUGUUUGGGCAAAAUACCUAUUUUGCCAGAGAAGCAGCAUUAAAACGUAUUACGGAUACUAAGAUGGAAGAGAGCACAAAAGUUCGUGAUCAUGUCCUCAAAAUGAUGGACUAUUUGAAUGAGGUAGAGAUUCAUGGUGUUCAAAUCAAUGAUAAAUCAAAGAUUAACAUGGUAAUUGAAUCUUUACCUGAUACAUUCAAAGAGUUUAAGGUCGGCUAUAUCUUAAACAAUAAAGAUAUGACCUUAAUUGAAUUAAUGCACGAACUACAUGCUAUAGAAGAAUUUUAUCAUAGCAGAAAACUUCCUGAAAAAUGAUUCUCUUCAAGGCUUAAGUCGAAAGACAAGAAUGAGCAAGCAAAAGUUGAGUUCGACAAAUUGUCCACUAAAAGAAGUGGCAAGUGCUACAAAUGUGGACAGAAGGGUCACUGGAAGAAAGAUUGUCCUAAGAUUAUUAAAAUCAAGUAUAGGAAAUCUUUAAGCUUCCUAAUUAGUUCAGAUUUCUAUUGAUUCAUACAAUAAUGAAUUCUGAGAUAACUAAUCUUAUUUGUAAUUCAUUUAUUUGGUUUUCAGGAAACCAAGAGAUUAAGUGAAGAAAGCUUCAAAUAGCAGUUGAGGACAUGCUAGUUUAUAUCAAUUGAAAGGCUAGAUCAAUUUUACAAGACUUAAAGUUUUGAUAUUUGUCUUUAUUUUUCCAAAUAUUAGAGGAAUAUUAAUUUCGGUGACUUGUUUUAAUAAACAGGAGUGCACUGUUAUUUUUUGAUCCUCUAUUUAUUAUUUAUUUUGGUUAUUUAUAAAGACAAUUUAUAUCAUAUAAGUCCAUUGAUCUAUUCAAAGUAAGAUAUAAUGAUAAAGAGUAUAUGCAUUUAUCUAAGAAAAGAAAUGUUUCUUCAAACCAAAAUUACCUCUGAUAUUUAUGCUCAAGUCAUAUAAACUAUAAUAAGAUUUUAAGAAAAUGAUUAAUGAUAGACUUGUUGGCCUAUUAAGAUUGAUCAUUGUAACUCUAUAAAUCUUAUUUAGAAAAGUAAUAUGACAAGGAUGCUCUUUUUGAGCUAAAAGCAUAACAUUGUAUUUGAUGAUUUAGCGCAUACAAAUGUAUACGGACUAAUCAGUUUACAUGUUAUAAGAGGUUAUGAGUAUUCUAUCAAUCUUGUUGAUGAAUAUUCAUUUUAUUUAUGUUUGUCCAAAUGCGUCAUCAUUCCAUUGCUUUUGAAAUUCAAAAGAGUACGUGGAUAAGACAGAAGCAAUUAGACAGGAACAUAAAAGAACUUCGAUAUGAUCGAAACAAAGAAUAUCUCUAUGGAGAAUUCAAGCACUAUUUGGUUGUCAAUGAACACUAUGAUACAAUAAUGUAAUUAAAUGGAGAAACAAGAUUCUUUUGGAUAAGACAAGAUAUAUACUAAGUGGUUUAUCAUUUACCUUUUUUAUUCCAGAUACUAGUAUUUGAAACUACAAAGUUUAUUGAACUUAGUUUCAUCUAUCUCGGUGUCUACUACUCCAAGAUAUUAUGAAAAAGUCACAAACAUGGUUUGAGACACAUUCGUAUUUGGAGUUUACUAGUAUUUCUACUAGAAUCAGAGAUAGAGAAGAUGGAUUCGUGUUCAGAAGCUUGCAUGUUUUAGGUAUCAAAAAUGAAUAAGGGAAAGUCUGAAUUAUAGUCCUCAAGAUAGGAAUGUAUUUAUAGAAAUAUUCUUUACUUUCUUUGAGGAAGACUAUAUAAUGACUUAUAACCUAAGAGUAAGGUAAAACUAGAGAAAUAAAAGAGAUCAGGUUGAUGCUCAGCUUUCAACACCUGUUAUAGAACAGGAAGAACAGCAAUAACCAGCUGAUCAGCACAGGAUUAUCCUUGAACAACCAUCACUUUUAGAACCUAGUCGUAGUGGGAGGGUAACUAGGUUACCUGCGAGAUACAUGUUUUUGGGAGAAACCUAUAUGGCUAUCUCAGAUGAACAUGUACAAGAUCCCACUAGUUACAACGAAUCUCUAAUAGAUAGAGAUGUUAAAUUUUGGAAAAAAGCCAUGAAUCAAGAAAUUGAAUCUAUGUAUUCCAAUAAAGUCUGAGAACUUGUAAAGACACCAAAUGGGGUAAAACCUAUAGGGUGCAAGUGGAUCUACAAGAGAAAAAGAGGAGUAGACGGAAGGGUGGAAACAUUUAAAGCAAGAUUAGUAGCCGAAGGGUUUACUCAGAAAGAAGGAAUCGAUUAUGAGGAAACCUUUUCUCCGGUUGCUAUGCUUAAAUCCAUCAGGAUUCUGCUCUCUAUUGCUGCAGUGCUAGAUUAUGAAAUUUGGCAAAUGGAUGUCAAGACUGCCUUUCUUAACGGGCAUCUUGAAGAAAACAUCCACAUACAGCAACCAGAUGGAUUUAUACAAAAAGGCCAAGAACACAUGGUAUGUAAGUUGCAGAGAUCCAUUAAUGGAUUGAAGCAAGCAUCCCGGUCAUGGAACAUCAGAUUUGAUCAAGCGAUUAAAUCACUUGGAUUCAUUCAGAACAUUGAUGAACCAUGUGUGUACAAGAAAAUUCAGGGAAAAUUUGUAGCCUUCCUAGUUCUUUGUGUAGACAAUAUUCUCCUGAUUGGAAACGAUAUAGGAGUAUUGACUACAAUAAAGAUUUGGUUAGCAAAACAAUUUGAUAUGAAAGACCUGAGAGAGACAAGUUAUAUUCUUGGUAUCAAGUUACUACGAGACCGGAAGAAUAAAACUUUAGCCUUGUCUCAAGCGGUCUAUAUCGAUAAGAUAUUGGCUAGAUUUAGCAUGGAAAAUUCCAAGACUGGUUUAUUACCAUUCAGACAUGGAAUUACAUUCUCUAAGGAUCAAUCACCUAAAACAUCUGAAGAGAUAGAGAGAAUGAGACGAGUUCCCUAUGCAGAAGCUGUGGGAAGUCUCAUGUAUGCCAUGCUUUGCACUAGGCCAGACAUCUGUUUUGCGGUAGGGAUGGUUAGCAGAUAUCAAUUUAAUCCUGGACCUCAAUACUGGACUGCAGUCAAGCAUAUUAUAAAGUAUCUGAAAAGAACUAAAAAUUAUAUGCUUGUGUAUUCUGGUGAUGAACUUAUUCUGGUGGGUUAUACUGAUUCUGACUUUAUGUCAGAUAAGAAUUCCAGAAAAUCAACUUCCGGCUAUGUGUGUACAUUGGGAAGUGGAGCUAUUAGCUGGAUGAGUGUGAAACAAUCUUGUAUCACAGACUCAACAACUAAAGUUGAAUAUGUGGCUACAUCUGAAGCUGCAAAAGAGGCUAUAUGGCUCCGCAAGUUCCUACGAAAUCUUGAGGUGGUACCUGUUGUAACUGCACCCCUUAAACUAUUAUGUGAUAAUGGUGGUGAGGUAGCUCAAUCUAAGGAACCAAGGAAUCGCAAGAAACAAAACAUAUUGAAAGGAAGUAUCAUUUUAUAAGGGAAUAGUGUAGAAAUGUUAUAUGACAGUACCCCAAAUGGCAUUAGAUACUAAAUGGCAGAUCUUAUUACAAUGGCCAUUAGUGGGAAACCUUUAUAACCUGCACUUAGAGCCCUAGAGCAUGUGCAAUAUGCCAGAUAUGCUUUGAGAGCUAGUGGGAGAUUGUUGGGAAAUUAUGCUCUUUAAAAGCAUAUGUGUUUAUUUAAUUGUAAUAAAUAAUUUUUCUGAUUAAUAAAAUAAAUGAGGUAUUUUAUUCAAAUAUCUUAAUUGCAUUAAUAUUUGUAUUAAAGUCCAUUUAAUCAUAUUAUAUGUAUUUAUGUGAUCACCAUGUGGAUUCACAGAAGACAUAAAUACAAGUUAUCUCACAGAAGACAUAAAUACAAGUUAUCUUAUGAUUAAAUAAAUUUAGUUCGCAGUUGAUAAAUAAAGUUGGGCACUUUAUUUAGGUAUAGACUGUAAUAAAUUCAUUGAAUGAUUUGUCUUAAUCAUGUAUGAAUUUAUUGAUGUAGUACGACUACAUUGAACAGGAUCACAUAUGAUAUUUAAUUAACUUUGUAAUAACUGUCAGACUUAUUAAAUCUCAUAGGCGUUGAUUUUACUGUAAUCUUAAUCUUGAGUUAAUUAUGAUUUCAUGAUUGUAAUUGUUAUUCCAUUUGAGUUACCAAUGGGCACGACACAUCCUUGUAGUCAAGAUUACCCGGUAUCUUGGUGGGAGCAAUUAUGAGUAUUGGAGUUAUGGAUUAACAAUAUAGAAUUUGUACAACACAUCUCUUGAUGGGUUUUCGGCACUUGAUCAUAGAAUUCUCUGGCCAGAGUGUGUCAACAUAUUUAGUAUGUUGAAAAUGAUCAUUAGAGAAAACCAGUAAGGAUCAAAGAAUAAGAUGUUAUUAAAUUGAUUGGACAGUUGAGAUAUCAAUUUAAUUAACGAUGUGGUACAAAGGAUUGUGCAGUAAAGAAAUCAAUGUGGCUGGGGACGAAUUAUUAUUCGAGCAUACAAUUAUGGAAGUCAGUUCCAAUCUUUUAGUGGAGUAGAUUUGGAAUUAAAUAAUUAGGCUAGUUUAAUUACAGGCCUAAUUGUUAUAGCCACUAUUGUAUGUUCCCAAAUGAUCCCCGGGUUAGCUCAUUUAAUUGACUUCACCACUACUGGACUAAUAAGCAAGAUAACUAGCUAUUUGGGUCAAAAGCCUAAAUAUAUCAUUUAGUGAGAGGCUCCAUUUAAUUAGCUUAUGUGUAAGGGGCCUUAUGUUAUUUUACAUGGUGGGUCCCCUAUUAAAUAAAAAGUAACGUGAGUUUUAUUUUGGGCAUUAUUUGAAGCCUAGGGUUUUCACUAAAGGGUGAUAUAAAAGGCUUAUUUUUCUCAAAAGAAAGGAGAGAAGCCACUUUAUACAAAUCGGAGAAUAAGAUUUUUCUCUCUAUUGUUCAGAGAAAAAUUUUCUCGUGCUAGUUGCUUUGGUAGUGAUAAAGGCGCCCACACGUCAAGUGCAGAUCGAACCUGAGUCAUAACCUGGAAGAUCAUUGGUGACAUUCGUGAUCUAACAAGCGUGGUGGUGACGGAUCGUGAUCUAACAGGAGUGGUGGUGGCGGAUCGUGAUCUAGCAGCCUAAAUCAUUUCAGCGGAAAAAGCCAACUCGGAUUUUCAAGGUACGAUUUCUAGAAUACAAAUUCUUAUAUAUUAUAUGAGAGCGAUCUUCAAAAGGUUUUAUAAAAAUUUUAAAAACCUCAUUUUUCCCCAACAAUCUAAAUGUUAUCUAAUGCUUUCUUAAAUUAUUUAGCUCUGAAAAAUGAUCAUUGAAGAGGUUAUUCUUAAGUGCUAAGUUUACAGGCAGAGAGGGGUUUUGUAGUUAAAAAAUGUAGAGAGCAUAUGUCUGGGAUAUGAAAUGAAGGUAUUGAGGUGUUCUGUUUUCUUAAUUGGUAUUUUCUAAAAUCGAUAAUGGUGAAAUGGGGCUGAAAAAUGAGAUUAUCUGGCAUCCUGCUCUGACGCAUAAGUCAGUAGGCUGAUUUGGUGAGUUUGAUGGUUGUAAUUGCGUGCUUGCCGCAAAUGUUUCACCCCUUAGCUUAUAAAUCUGGAUUGGUGACUAGAAGUUGUGUCUUUAGGGGUGCGGGGUUCGUAUACUCCGAAGCUUUAGGGUCAAGCAGACAUUAUGUUUUUAACUUGUCAACUGCAGUAUUCGUGUUUGAAAUCAUCUUUGUUACCUUAACCUCCCCUCUCCAAGAUUCUAAGCUUGCCUUCCUUUGACUGAUUCAAUUGUGCACCUCAAUACCAAUCAAUCGGCACUCAGGUGGUUCUAACUAACUUGUUUAUCUCCCCCAAACCAAAUUAUGACUAAUCUCGCUUUUUAAGGGAGGGAAAAUUUCAUUUAGGUGGUUGUGUGAGCUCCUUAAUUAAGAACUUUUAAAUGUAUGUUUCUUUCAGAGAUGUAUAUCUGAAUGUUAUCUAAUGUUUUCUUAAAUUAUUUAUCUGUGAAAAAUGAUCAUUGCAGAGGUUAUUUUUAAGUGCUAGGUUUACAGGCAGAGAGGGGUUGCAUAAUAGUUGGUUUUGUUGUUAAAAAAUGUAAAAGCAUAUGUCUGGGAUAUGAAAUGAAGGUAUUGAUGUUUUCUGUUUUCUUAAUUGGUAUUUUCUUGGAUUACGGAUUUCAAUUCUAUAGCAUGACUACUGUAAUCGUGUGUUUCUUCAUUUCUCAUUUUGCUUUCGUUAUAUUUCUCAAAUUUUUUGUCAUUCCUCCCAAAUUGUGACGUUUAAUGGAUAAGUUAGGAUCAUUAUUAGACAACCUAGGACGUGUAAUAAAAAAAUUUGAAAAUAUUGUUUCAUGUUUGUUAAUAUGUAUCAUGCACUUGAAUUUGCAUCUUGUUAUGGGGCACAUCAUCAUCGAAAAAAGAUACAUCCAGUCAAGGGAACUUACAAGACUUACCCCUUGUCAUCCCAAAAAAAUCUAGAAAACGAAUUAAAAGGGUUAAAUCUUUAACAAUUGAGACACUUUCUGUAUGGUUGGUCUAGAUUCGGGACUCUCAUCUAAGCAUGAAAUGGCGACUUCCAUGAUUGAUAUCAAUUUGUCUUGAACAUUGUGCGAUGGAGUUGGAAGCCGAGGGUCCAACAUUUCAUUGAGUGCUAUUUCCAAGUUCGAAGAUGAAGAGGAAAUUGAGGAAAUGAAAUCUCUUGGAUGUUUCCCCUUUAUCACUUCCAAUGCUAACACCCCAAAGCUGUACACAUCGCACUUUUCCGUAACUUUCAUUGUGUAUGCAAGCUCUGAAACAGAAAAAAAAAAUCGAUUAUAUUUUAUUUUUUAUUUUUACUUGAAAUCUAGUAAGCUGAUACUAGUUAGUUUAUUGUACAAGUUCGAAAUAAUGAUUUACAUACCCGGUGCAACAUAUCCAUAUGUGCCUGCAAGUUCUGCCCAAUUGGAUGAGUCUGGCUUGAGAAACUUGGCAGUUCCAAAAUCCGAAACAUGGGCUUCAUUCUCCAAAUCUAACAACACAUUCUUGCUUGAUAUAUCUCGAUGAACAAUUGGUGGGAAGCAAUCAUUGUGCAUGUAAGACAAUGCAUCAACUACACCUUUUAUCACAUUCAUUCUCUUUGUCCAUCCCAAAUCCUUUGCUGCUGCGUCAUUGCUCAGGAUCAUGGCCAAGCUACCCAUUUCAAGAUAUUCAUAAACUAUAAAUGAGUGUCGGGCAUGUGAACAAAAGCCAUAAAAUUUCACAAUGUUACGAUGUCGUAUCCCUGUUAAUGUCUUAACUUCAUUAAGGAAUUCUUGUUGACUUGCCAUCUCACUUGGGAGUGGUGAAUGAAAUUUCUUGACUGCAACGAUUUCUCCAGAUGGUAACUCAGCCUUGUAAACGCUUCCUUGUCCACCCUUUCCAAUGCAGUGCUCAUCAUCAAAGUCAUUUGUUACUCUAAUGAUUUCUUCGUACACAAUUUUUCCUUCAAAACUUAACACUGAAAGAAAACCCGGAGCAUUUCCAGGGCUACUCUGUUGUGUCUGUGAGCUACUCCUUCGAAACAUAAAGAACAAUCCAAUUAGAGAAAUUAAAAGAGCAAAACUCCCUAAGAGAGGGAAUACAAUAACAACCCAAAUCUUUCUCGAAGCUUGUUUGUGUGACUUGGAUGCUUUACAAGAUGGAAAUCCUUUGAUAUCUCCACACAAGCCUUUGUUCCCUUGUAAUGCUUCCAUCGGAGCAUCUCUAAAUGCGGUGCUAUUAGGAAUUGAUCCAUGUAAUUCGUUGUAGGAUAUGUCAAUAUAUGAAAGACCAUGCAAUUCCUCAAAACAACUUGGAAUGAAGCCAGAGAGGUUAUUGUGGGAGAGAUUCAGCUUCUCCAAGCUUUGCAUAUUGCAGAUUUGAGAUGGCAUCUCUUCUCCGAGAAAGUUAUGACUCAAAUCUAACUCUGAAAGAUGAAUUAACUUCUCCAAUUCAACUGGAAUUUUCUUAAUAAACUGAUUAUUGCUCAAAUUCAAGUAAUGCAAUUUAACCAAGUUACCAAGACUUUUUGGGAUUGAGUUGCUUAAUCUAUUUGAAGACAAGUCAAGGCGCUCAAGUUGAGUGAGUGACCCGAGCUCUAGAGAUAGUUGUCCACAAAGUUGAUUACUAUUCAAAAUGAGCUUGAUUAGAGAACUAAGCUUGCCAAGUUUUGAUGGCAUCUCACCAACAAUGUGAUUUGACGAAAGAUCAAGAACUUUUAAUUGAGAUGAGUGUAUAAUCUCAGCGGGCAUGCUGCCAGUAAUAUUAUUCGAGGAAAAAUCUAAAGUGCCUAACUUUGGGCAUCUUCCCCAGUCAGAUGAGAUUUCACCAUAAAAAUAAUUGUGGCUGAGAUCUAUGAAAGCUAAGUUUGGAUGAAUACCGAAAGAUUCAGAUAUAUUACCGGUGAGAUGGUUUUGAUUAAGACGUACUCUUACUAAGCUUGUCAAAUUUCUCAAAUUAGGAAUUGGACCUCGUAAUUGGUUAUUCUCUAAAGUUAGUAGAGUCAACUUCACAAGGUUCCCAUAUUCUUUAGGAAUAGCACCAGAAAGCGCAUUAUCAAAAAGAGUCAAGAAAGUAAUCUGAGUCAAGUUACCCAGAGAAUGAGGGAUUGAGCCACAAAGUUUAUUGCCGCUCAGUUCUAAAUCAGAAAGAGACUUCAAGCGUCCUAUUUCACUUGGAAUUGAGCCAGAAAAUGAAUUGUUAUAAAGAUACAAGAAAGCCAAGUUGGACAAGUUACCUAGAGAGUGAGGGAUUGAGCCACCAAGUUUAUUGUCGCUCAAUUCUAAAUCAAAAAGAGACUUCAAUUUUCCUAUUUCACUUGGAAUUGAGCCAGAAAGUGAAUUGCCAUAAAGAUACAAGGUAGCCAAGUUGGUCAAAUUACCCAAAGAAUGAGGGAUUGAGCCACAAAGUUUAUUGUCGCUCAGUUCUAGAUCAGAAAGAGACUUCAAGCGUCCUAUUUCACUCGGAAUUGAGUCAGAAAGUGAAUUGUUAUGAAGAUACAAGGAAGCCAAGCUAGUCAAGUUACCCAGAGAGUGAGGGAUUGAGCCACUAAGUUUAUUGUAGCUCAAUCGUAGAUCGGAAAGAGACUUCAAUUUUCCUAUUUCACUUGGAAUUGAGCCAGAAAAUGAAUUGCCAUAAAGAUACAAGAUAACCAAGUUGGUCAUGUUACCUAGAGAGUGAGGGAUUGAACCACCGAGUUUAUUGUUGCUUAGAUCUAGAUCAGAAAGAGACUUCAAGCUUCUUAUUUCACUUGGAAUUGAGCUAGAAAGUGAAUUGUUAUAAAGAUACAAGGUAACCAAGUUGGUCAAGUUACUCAGAGAAUGCGGGAUUGAAUCUUCCAAAAAGUUUUUGUACAAAGCAAGGACGUUUAGAGAACUUAAUCGGCCUAAUUCAUGAGGAAUUGAGCCACUUAGCUGAUUCUCGAAUAGGCAAAGGACCUUCAGAUUACUUAGGUGGCCAAGUUGUACUGGUAUUGUCCCAGAAAACGAAUUGGAUGAUAAAUCAAGGUACUUGAGUUUUGAAAUGUUACCAAUUUGAGGCGGGAUGUUUCCAAAGAGUUGAUUGCUCCAAAGAGUGAGAUACUCAAGAUGGGGAAAUGAUGAGAAUGAGAAAUCAUGAAGCGUACCUUUUAAGCCUGUACUUGUGAGGUUAACACUAUUGACUGUUCCCGCAUGGUUGCAAUGAAUUCCAACCCAAGCACACGAGCUUAUUUUGGUGACAUUAUCAAGAGUCCAUGAAGGCAGGAGAGAUCCAUUUUUAUGAUUUUGAAGGCUAGCUUUCCAUUUGAGAAGAGCAUGGGCUUCUUCUGUAGAAUCAAAAGAAGCGGUGAGUGGAAAAUCUAGAACAGGGAAUAGGAUGAGGGAAAUGAGUGAGAAAAUUACUAAAUCAUUUUUCAAGUUUGGUAACGCCAUUGCAUAGUGAGAGAUCAACUGAGACUCGAUAAUUAUAUAUAGAAAGAGUAGAGAACAAUUAAAGAUGAGAACAACAAGAAUUAAAGAUUUGCUAGACACGGCAGAUAGAAAUAAACAUCUAGGACUAAUGGAUGUACAAAUAAACACACUGAAAGACAAUUUUAUAUUAACUAUACAAGAAAGCAAAUGAGUUAAUUGAAUCAAUGACGUGAGCCAACAAGUCAACGCGUCGAACACCUCUAAAGUAGACUAGUUGCAGGUAGGAUAAAAUAAAAAAUAUUGGUUUCAUUAGUUACCCAUAUGUCGAUUGAGGCCUGUAUUGUAUAUAUGCUUCUUUUAGCUUCAACGAAAAUCUAUUAGAAUGUGAACUAUUACAGUGUUACCAAAAAAAAAAAAAAAAAAAUUUAUGUGUUUUGAAAAUUUAAAUCAUGUCAAUAUCAAAUUUAAAUCUUAAAGGCCAAAAACACAAUCUUCGAUAUAAAAUUUUAUGAUUUUAAUUUAAUUCCAGUUCUAAGUUGAGGUCAGCGCAAAGAAUAGUUUCAGAACUUAACCCAAAUUCUUCUAUUUUUCAAUAAUUGUAAUAUUACCUGUAAUCGUGUUGCAGAAACAUAUUUAUUUCUAUCUCUCUAAUUUUAAAAAUAAAAAUAAAAUUCUUCUGGAUGAGCGUUAGCUGGAAUGGGAACUUCAUAUGUUCGGGGGUCAACAAAGGUGUGUAAAAUAUUUCUGAUUUUCUGUUCCGAAUUCUCCCAUUUGAUUGGAUUUGUUCAAAGGUUUAAUUAAAAAUUUUCUUGGGCGUAACGCAAAGCCAACAAUCAAGUGUUUUUUUUUUUUUUGGUUUGCAAUGGGGUGACCGUUAGCGGUAGUGUUUGUAUAAUAUGUAUGUGUUGCAAUCUAUAUCACAUACGCAUUCAAGGUUCAAGUACUUUUCAAAAAAAUUUAUUUAUUAUUUCUAUUUAAUAUUAUAUCAGUUUAUAAAUAAUAAAAAAUAGGUUACAAUCAAUAAAAUAUAAGAAUAAGAUUUUUCCUUAAUUUUAGUAAAUAAUUUUUAAUUUUAAUUUUAAUUUUAAUUUAUCUAAUUUAUAAGAAAUAAAUAUGAAUAAAUUAGAAGUGUAUUUGAAAAUAAGGAUAUUGUUAUAAAAUUAUUAUAUCAUGGGAGUUAUGGACCAUUAUGAAAAUAAUAAUUAAUUAAUUUUGUGAAAUGUUUCUCCAUUAUAUAUUUCUCUAGAAGAGCUGAAAAACUUAUCCGAAUACAUAUAAUUAAUUUUGUAAUCAAAAUUAAUGGGCAACUUGACUUCUCUUUCUCGGAUCCUAAGCCCUGAUUAACUUGUUUACUGGGCGCUCUUUUGGAUCCUGACCGACUAACUUGUUUACUGGGCAUUUGUCUCGAGAAAGAUUGUCAGUUAGUGAAUAGAAAAGUCUAUCCAAUUCUAAUUAAAGCAACACACAGUCACACACUGCCUUCCAAUACCUUUUUGUAGUAUAAAGUCACAAAUAUCGCAUAAAUGUUAUUGUAUAGGCCCUUAUUUGAUAAACAAAUAUGAUUAUUAUUGUCAUAUUAUGCACUUUGAUGACACAACUGCUUUAAUAUCUAUUUUAUAAAUGGCAAACAUUUAGCACAUUUUGGAUCUAAAUUGAGGUAGCUUCACUCAUCAAAUUUUAUGUAAAUAUUAGCUAUAGGUUUCCAUAAGGUUUGAAUUUGAAAUUCACAAGAAAGCAAAUAAGUGGUCGUCAAGCUUGCAUGAGCUCAACUAGUCAAUGCGUCAACACCUCUACAUUACAUCACAUAUUUUAAGAUAUCCAUUUUCCAGCACUGGAUCAAAAUUUCCCAGUCAAGCAACUUGCAAAAGAGGAUUGACUGAGAAAAUUGGGAGUGUGCUGAUUGAUGGAACCAACAAAAUUUCAAUCUCUAUUCCUUCCAAACGCACUAACAAAUUUUCAAUCUCAACCGGUCUAUACCUACCAUACGCACUAGCAAAUUUGCAAGGUCAAUGCUUAUUGGAGAACAACAAUGUGAUGGUUCAUCACAAUUUUUCCCAAGCCACCUCUAUUCCUGCAAGUGGUAGGCCCAGUAGUUAUACUUUUCUGGGCGCUGGACAUGUCCAGAGCAUGCUCGUUAUUGCUCGUCUCCCCCAAAACAAAUUAUAUCUAAUCUCUCUUUUUUACGAGCAGGGAGAAAAUUCCAUUUAGUGUGAGCUCCUUACUAACAACUUUCAAAUGUAUGUUUCUUUUAGAGAUGUAAAUAUGAACGUUAAGAUGAUUAGUUGAUUAUUGAAUAGGUUAUUUGCCAUAUACGUUGGUUGCAUAAUGGUGGGUUUGUGGAUAACAAAUGUGUAGAGCAUCUAGGAUAUGAAAUGAAGGUAUUAUAAGGUGUUUUUUCGUCAGCGUGAGACUGUUGUUUUUAAUUCGUUUUCUUAAUUGGUAUUUUCUUCGGUUAUGGGUUUCAAUUCUAUUUGGUGACUUACAGCAGUCAUCUCAUGUGUUUGGUGACCUCCUUAUAUUUGAUCAGCCCUCCACUUUUCGGUUAACUCGAUUUAUUUUUAGAUCUAUCCUGACUAAAAAAUAGUUAAAAAUAAAUAAUAUUUAUAUUUUGUUUCUCUCUCACAUCCCUUUCACUUUCUUGAACUGAUUCACAGUAUGAAUCAAAUAUUAUCUCCUAAUCCAAACCCGAAUCGAAAACUUGAAAGUCCUGAAUUAUUAUCACCAAAAAUCAAAAUCAAUCCCAAGCAUCUAUCGCAACAAAAUACACUACUUACAAAAUUUUACAAAACCCUGUAACAGAACCCCUCGUGCUGCAGAGGAGAUGGAUUGGUAGUGAUGACGAUAUGUGCUGGUGAUGGUGCUGGUGAUGAUUGACUUGAUGGUGAAGAUGACGAUUGACUUGAUGGUUAUGGUAAUGCUGACGCUCCAUAGAGGAAAAAAAAUUAAAAUAAAAAACUAAUAUAUCAGAGAACUCUAAACGUGUAAUAAAAAAAUUUGAAAAUGUUGUAACAUAUAUUUGCCAAUAUCAUGUACUUAAAAUUCUGUUAAAGAGAAGUUUUUCAUCUUCUUAUGGAGCCCACCAUCAUCGAGGUGACAGAAGAUUGAUGGGGUACCUCUAGUUUUUAAGUGGACUCGGAAGAGAAAUUGAUCACCGACAUCACUGUUUGAUAAUUGUAAUUUUCUGUACUUAAAAUUCUGUUAAAGAGAAGUUUUUUAAUUAAUUCUUAAUUAUCACUGUUUGAUAAUUGUAAUUUUCUGUUUCUGGAGUUAAGGGUGUUAGUAUGUUAGAGAGUAGAGACUACGGUGCUUUGAAUCCGUUGGCACCGACCUUUUUGUAAAAUUUCUCAAGAUUUUCAUUACACAUCUCAAGUGUUUCGUUUCAUUUUCGCUACUUUUGUAACAAAUUUUUUAUUUGAAGAGAACCAUAGCUUAAGAUGAUUCAUAUAGAAAAUUUAUUAGCUGUGAAUAAUUUUUGCAUUUUGGAAAAUACGGAUUUGAACUGGCCCAUGGUAAAUAACUACAAAAUAUACUAGUCAAUUACCGGGAUGCCUAUAAUUUAGUAUUAAAAUAUCGUUAGUUAAUAUGUUAACGGAAAUCCAUAUUUUAAAAAAUAUUGACGUUUGCACAUAUAAUUUUGAGAAAAUAAUCAAAGCUCCUCUGUUAUUUAAAAACUCACCAAAAAUCCAUAAUUUGCUGGGCAUUUUUUCCCCAAAAGAUUUUGUCUGUUAGUGAAUAGAAAAGUCUAUCCAAUUCCAAUUAAAGCAGCACACACUGCCUUUCAAUAUCUUUUUGUCGUAAUGAUAAUAGUACAGUUACAAAAAUCAUAUAAAUAUUGGAGAAAAGGACAUUUACACCCCUAAGGUUUGGAAAAAUGAUCAUAAAAACCACUGAAUUUUCAAUAAGUGACACUAAAACUCCAUUUUGACCAUAAUGUCUUUUAAUUCUAUAAAUUCCAAAAAAAAUUGACUCCAAAAUUUUAUAGUAUAUAGAAAUAUGCACCAAAAUAAAUGUAAUAAUAUAUAGAUUUUAAAAUAAUUAUAUUAUUUAAAAAAUAGUUUUAUAUUUUACAAUAUGCUAGACCUAUUUUAUUAUAUUAAACUAAUUUUUAGAAAUAAAUAGAAACAUAAUUUUAAUAUAAAUAAAUUAAUAUUAAAAUUAUUUUGAAUAUUAUAUAAAAAUAAUUUUAAUAUUAUUAAUAGGGAGAUAUUUUGUCAAUUGUAAAAUCCAUUUAACCCAAAGAUUUAUUUAAAAUCUUUAUAAUAAAUACAAAUGUAUUAUUAAAAUAAAUAUAAUAAUUUAAAAUUUUAAAAAUUAUUAAAUGUUAAAAAUAAUUUAAUAUCAUUAGUCUACUAGAUAGAUUAUAUUAUUUAUAUAAAUUCGUAUUAAUUAAAAAACUUUCAGUCAAUUUCUAAUUACUANNNNNNNNNNNNNNNNNNNNNNNNNNNNNNNNNNNNNNNNNNNNNNNNNNNNNNNNNNNNNNNNNNNNNNNNNNNNNNNNNNNNNNNNNNNNNNNNNNNNGAUUGUGGAUCUAAAUUGAGAUAGCUUCACUCAUAAAAUUUUAUGUAAAUAUUAGCUAUAGGUUUCCAUAGGGUUUGGUUUGAACUCCUUCACACGGCUGAAGAGGAUAUACACUAUAUAUAUAUACAUAAAUUUUUUAGUGCCUCUUCUUUUGAGCAUUUUUCCCUCUACCGCUUUUAUCCGUGCAUAUUUUAAGGAAUAAGCGCAUCACUUUUUUUUUUUUCUUUUUCCUCUUCAAUUAAUAAACUUCACUCCCUUUUCAAAAUAAUAAUAAUAGUGAUGGUGAUGAUAAUGAUGAUGAUGAACUUCACUCUUUCCUCUUAUGUCCCCCCCCCCCCCCCCCCAAAAAAAAAAGAAGAAAGAAAGAAAGAUAAAAGCAAUUUGCUUAUAGAUACAUAAUAAUGAUUUAAUUAAUUAAUUGUUCAAACCUCCUGUUGAUUUCAAUUUUUUUAGAAUAAUGUGAACUUGUUGUAAUUAUUUUUUGAAACCGGGGUUGGUUUACAAAAUUAAUGGGGUGAAAAUAUAUUUGUUCUUUAUGAUUUUGCCUUACAACUUUUCCAGUUUUACAUAUAACGCCUGUACGUCUUCAUACUCAUUUUAGACUUUGGGUUCUAAAAGUUACUUCUAUGAAUUUUGGCCCUAUUAUAUUUUUCUUGAUCUUCCAAGCUCCUCCCUUGUUUCAAGUAGGGUAAAUGGUAACAAAAUUCCUGUUAGGAACUUGAUUAUUUUAGGAUUCAAGAUAUUAAUUCAUGUUGUGUUCAGAGUGAUUGUGAAAUUCACAUUGAAAUCAUUAUUUCUAAGCUUUCAAACUACAAUAAUGGUAAGUAAAACUUCUUUAUAGUCAUAUUGUUGGGACCAAUUUUUUUUUUUUUUUUCUAUGAGGAAGUAAUGACUUAAUAGAGGUAUAGUUACAUAAAUUAAUGUUUUGACUUAAUCAUCCUUAGUACAAAUAAUAUAGAGGUAAAGUAUGCACUACAUUAAUAAUUAAUUAAAGGAACAUGUCAAAUCCAAUGUAUAUACAUUAAUAAAAAAGAUAAAUAUAUAUAUUUUUUUAAAAUAGUACAUAUAUCUAAAUAGUGUUAUGCAAAGUCAUUUUAAAGUCUAAAUGUUUUUGCAUUCUCUUAAAUAUUUUUCUCUUAGUAUAAAUUCCAUAAAUACUAUGCAUUAUAUAAAUCAUUGUCCUAUACAACUUUCAAAAAUAAUAUUUUAUUCCAUCUUAAACCUUUAAUAUAAUUUUACAUAAAAUUUUUCGAAUAUACAAAUAAAUAUUACUAUGUGGAGGCUAGUUUCUUAAGAUAGGAUCACAACGGUAGAUAAGUUAGCAGGAGUAAAAGAAAAUAUUAAAAAAAUGUGUCAGUUUUUUUUUUUUAAGUAUUUCAUUAAAACAAAAACAUUACAAACUGUUUAAUAAGCACAGAGGUGGAACAUGACUCCACUCUCCGGGACCUGACAUAGAACCUCCUGCCCUAACAACAGAAUGGAAAGAAGAGUUCGCAGAUCGACACACAAACAAGAAUUGCACUUCUCAUAUAGACAUCGCAAGAGAUUAACACUCCUCAAUUGUAAGGCCAAAACCAUUGGGGCUGGAAAAAUUCUCAGUUAAAGCUUGAAAGACUUGAAGGUUGUCCAUUUCGAUAAUAGCACAAGGCAAUUGCAGCCUCUUGAUCCUACUGAGAGCCUCUCUAAUGCCAAGAGCUUCAGGCUCUCGUGAGCCAAAAAUACCUAGAAAACACUCACACCUUGCUGCCACAAAUUCACCAACAGAGUUAUGAAUUACACACCCAACACUGAACUUGAGCAUUAAAUAUGGCAGCAUCAACAUUUCACUUUAACCAACCAAAGCAAGGUUUUUCCCAACAAAUAGCCCCAUGACCAACUCUAUUAGUAUCAGCAUUAAUAAAGAAAUGAUGUUUCCUUAUAGUUUGCCACUGGAAUAAAAUCUGCCCAGCAGAGUUGAGGACUUGUAAAGCACUGCCAGUUCUGUGGUUCCAUAAAUGAUCAGUACGAUGAAUCCAAAUCCUCCAGCAAAUCAUGGCGGCAAGCUGACAAUUCUCCUUACUAUACCGAGAGAAAAUAGCCUCCAGCCAAGCCAAAAAAGAAAUGCAGUAACCAAAGAAACCAACAGCAGAGGAAAUCCAACAAGACGUAGCAAAGCUACACUCCAGUAGAGCAUGUGUAAUAGUCUUAUCAUAGGCAUUGCACAAAGAGCAAGUAGGUAUAAUAGUCACUCUACGACGAAUAAGGUUAUCCGCAGUAGGUAAUACAUUUGUCGCAGCCAGUCAAAGAAAAUUCCUAACCUUACUCGGCACCUCCAAAUUCCACAAUGUUCUCCAAAUACUAGUAGAAGAAUCACUAGCACUAUGGGUUAACAGUUUAUAGCAGCUCGUAUCGAAUAAACUCCACAAGGAUCAUGCAGCCAAUACCACAUAUCAGACUCUCUACGGUAGCUAAGAGGAAUUUGCAAGAUCAACUCUUUAUCUCUUGAAUUAAAAAGGUUAGAAAUAAUAUCUAAAUCCCAUCGUCUUUGGUUUGGCACCAUCAAGCUACUCACUUUUGCAACAACCAGCUCCUCAUUUAGGUUAGAUGAGAUAAAGCCAUUAUUGAUAUCUGGUAGCCAAGGAUCUUGGCCUAUUAAAACAUUCUACCCGCUUUUAAUUUGAAUUUGGCUUCCACAGACAACAACAUCCUUUGCAGAUAAAAUAGAUCGCCAUACAAAACUCGGAUUGUGCCCUAAUUUGGCUUCAUUAAUAGAAGUUCUCGAAUAAUAGCGAGCCUUUAAAACUUUAUCAACAAAAGAUUCUAGUUUUGUAAGAAGUUUCCAGACCUGUUUGCCAAGCAUAGCGACAUUGAAAGUAUGCAAUUGCUUGAAGCUAAUUCCCCCAAAAACCUUCGGUUUACAUAAGUGCUCCCACUUUAUCCAAUGAAUUCCCCUACCACCAUCGCUUUUGCUGCCCACUAAAAGGAAUUCAUCAUAACUUCCAGCUCCUUGCAUAAGUCAAGAGGUAAGAGAUAGACAUUCAUGGCGUAAUUAGGCAUUACCUAGGCCACCGUUUUCAGCAAGAUUUCCUUCCCAGCUCGAGAUAACAUUUUGGAAUGCCAUCCUUGCAGCCUUUGUUGAACUUUGUCCCGAAUAUAAUUAAAGACAACUUUUUUCUUUCGACUAAUAUAAGAUGAAAGUCCGAGAUAAGCUCCAUGAUCUUCUGUAGCAUUGACAUCCAGGGUUCCAUAAAUCUGACUAACAAUACUAGCAUGCACAUUAGCACUAAAUGAAAUGGAUAAUUUAGUAAAAUUUACCAACUGACCAGAAGCACAUCCAUAGGUAGCUAAAAUCUGCUUAAUGAUAGAACCUUCAACUGGAUUUGCUCUAAAAAACAGGAAGCUAUCAUCGGUGAAAAACAAAUGAGACACCACUGGAGCCCUUCAAACAGCUCUCACCCCAUGAAGCAAACCAAGCCUCUCAUAUCUCUUGAUCAAAGAACUGAGUCCCUCUGCGCAUAAAAUGAAAUGAUACAAAGACAGUGGAUCGCCUUGGCGUAGACCCCUGCUUGGCAUAAUUGGACCUACCUCCCUACCCUCACAAUGCACACUGUAACUAACUGUUGUCACACAAUGCAUGAUUAAGUUCACCCAUUUAGCAUCAAAACACAGUUUAAGCAUCAUAUCCUGAAGAAAACCCCACUCGAUCCUAUCAUAUGCUUUAGACAUAUCGAUCUUUAGAACAACGAUACCAUGUUUUCCUUGCCUCUUCCUCUUCGAAAAGUGCAUAAUUUCUGCUGAGAAAAUUAUAUUAUCGGUAAUUGCAUGACCGGGAAUAAAUGCACUCUGAGAGUCUGAAACAACCGAGUCAAGAACUAAUUUCAUGGGAUUAGCUAGCAUCUUGGAGACUAUUUUAUAAAGCAUAUUACAAAGUGCAAUCAGCCUCAUCAACCACAGCAGGAAAUACUAUUUGAGCAGUAGCGGAUCAAGGUAUGCAACGACCAGAAGUGUCAUGAUAAAGGGUCAUGGUCUCGGAUCUGACAACACCUGAGGCCGCUGUUUCUUCGGAAUAAGGACAAUAGAUGUGUCGUUUAAUCAUACAGGGAAAGAACAAUUAUGAAUAAAAGAUAGGUAAGCCGACACCGCAUCCUCACUACAAUGUGCCAGAAUUUUUCGUAGAAUGUAGGAUUCAUAACAUCUGGACUUGGGGAUUUAUCAGGAUGCAUUUCAAAAAGAGCCUCCUUAACUUCAAUAGCAGAAAACUGAGCCAAAAGUAAAGAAUUCUGCUCACUUGUAACCCUUGUCUCCACACACCGUAAAAUAUCAGCAGUAUGACAACCAUCAGACUUAAAUAAAUUACUAAAAUACUCCACAAUCUCAGCAUCAAUAUUAUUUGAAUUUGAAACCCACUGACCUUGACUGUUGCGAAGAGCCCCAAAAGAAUUUCUCCGUUUUCGUGCUGAGGCCGAAGCAUGAAAAUAACGAGUAUUUCGAUCCCCUUCUUUCAGCCAAAGAGACUUCGAUAUCUGCUUCUAAAAAACCUCAUUGCUAUGGAGGAGCUCAUUAAAUCUGUUUCUUGCCUCAGUAAAAGCAACCACGCCAUCCACGUCACGACGCCCUCUCAAGGAAGCCAUUUAUUGCUUACACUCUAAUUUUCAUUUCCGAAAGUCCUGAGCUAAAUGCCCACCCCAUACCAGCAAAGCAUUACCACAAACCUUAAUCUUUUGCUGAAUAUAAAUAUUUGUAGAGGAAGCCCAGCUAGAUCGAAUAACAUCAACACGCCCAACGUCACGCAGCCAUAAGUUCUUAGAGCGGAAUCGGCUAUGUCUGUAUACAUGUAAAUUCGGAUUGGGAUCCAAUAAAAUUGGCAGGUGGUUGGAGCAAGAAGAUUUCAAACUACAAACUUUCGCUCUAAAAAACUGUCGAAGCCAGGCAUCAGUAGCAAACGCUCAAUCAAGUCUUUCCUCAACCCAAUUAUCUGUGUCCCGAGAUCUCUCCCAAGUGAACUUGUUACCCUCCAUGCCCGGAUCGAUCAAACCACAGUCUAUAAUUGCACUGUUGAAACCUAUCAGCUUCCAGUUUGGGUGUUUAUGUCUGCCUCGCUUUUCAUUAGCCACCAACAAAUCAUUAAAGUCGCCAAUACAAACCCACGGCAAAUAGAAAGAGGUAGACAACAAACGAAGUAAAUCCCAGGAUGCCCGACGGUGGCUAGAUUUAGGGUAACCAUAAAAGCCCGUGAUUCUCCACCUUCGUUGGUCAGCCAAUUCAACUUCUGUAUCAAUAUAAUUCGUUACAUAACUAAGCAAAUUAACAACACAAGAUGCGUUCCAUAAGAGUGCAAUCCCACCACUGCGGCCCACUCUAUCCACAACAAAAAGCCCAUCAAAACCCAACUUCACUUUAAUGCUUUCUAAUUUAUUUUUACUGCAUAAUGUUUCAAUUAAAAAAAUAAAACAAGGCUUCUUACUACAGACCAAGUCCACCAACACCUGAACUAUCCAUGAGUGGCCCAACCCACAGCAGUUUCAAUUCAAAAUACUCAUUGGGUUCGGUGGGCCUGGAGUACAGGUCCCACCGCUGGUUCAUUUUUUGCCACUUCAAAUGUGUCAUUUGUUGUUGAAAACUCCUGACCUAGGCCCAUAGUAAUGUGAAGCCCAUUUAGAGAUCUUCUUCGUUUUAAAUAGUUGACAAUAGGGCCAUUCUCAAAAUCCUUAUCACUUUCCAUAUCACCAUCUACAACAACAGCUGUCCCACUCGAUGACUUCUCUAUUAGUUGAUUCCCAAUUGGUAAUUGUUUAUCAACUACCUUAUUGGGAGCCAUGUUUCCCAUGUUUUUGCCACCAAUAAAGGGCUUAGGUAAAAUAACUCCGGAUAUUGUGGCAUUAACCGAAUCAACUAACAUGGCAACAGCUUGAUUCAUGCUCCUUCCUUUAACUGCCUCAACCGUUUCCGGUGGUCCCUGGCGCAGCCACCGUUUGUCGAAAUUCAUCACAGUUCUUCUAUUUGGUGCCUUCAACCAAUGUCCACAAACUGGCACAAUUUCUCCUUUUGGGCACUUAUACAAUUUGGGGCAUUGUUUUUCAGUAUGCCCAAGCAAGCCACAGAUGAAGCAAAAAAAAUUAAGCCUCUCAUACUUAAAAUCAAUCCAAAUCCAAUCGCGUCCUACUUUCUUCAAUUUCAUCCUGUGCUUAAGAGGUUUUCUUACAUCUAUGGAUACACGAAUGCACAUAUAAUUGCGCCAGACUCCCAUCAAAUUAUUUUCAUCCGAAUCCAAGAAAGUACCAAUGUAAUUCCCAAUGUCUUUCAAGAUUUUCUCUGACAUAAAUCCAAUUGGUAAAUUAUAGAUCUGUAUCCAGAGGGAAGUAAAAAACAAUGGAACAUUUUGUGGUUACUUAUCUUCCUCCAGCUGCUUUACAAUCAAGAUAUGUUGAUCAAAAGUUCAUGGUCCCGAUUCCAACACCCUAUUAAUAUCAAUCUCAUGGAAGAAUUGAAAGAGGAACAAUGUUGGUGAUAAGUCUUUGAUGCACACUCCUUUGCCGGGACGCCACAACGACGCCAUUGUGUUUUUUAUGGCAGCAAAAUUUAUCACUUUGUCUGUAAAAAAUCUGCCAACCAAGCAAAAAAGGAGAUCAAAUUUCCCCUAACCACCGUCAUCCCCCUCAUCCCCCGUGACUAUCAAACCUCCUUCCUCCUCCUCGUCGAUGGACAUGCUAGCAUAAUCACUAUUGAUAGCGGUUUCCAGUGAUUCAACGUUGGUGGCCAUUGCAUGAAAUCAAAGAAUGCAAACAAUAUUUGGGAUAGAACAAAUAUUUUGAGAAUUAUAAAUUAACUUGUCCUAAAGACAAGACAAAACACAACUUGUCCCAAAGACAAGACAAAAUCGUUUGUGGAGAAAGUUUAUAUAAAAAAAAUGUAAGUUAAUUAAUGAACUAGACUUUGCAAAUUUUUAUGCGUUACUGAUUAACUAAUUCUUUUCAUCGAUUAUAGACUCUAGAUUCUCAUUUAAGCAUGCAAAGGACACCUGCAGGAUUGACAUCAGUUUAUUCGGAACAUUUCACUAAUUAUUGGAACAUUUCACUAAUUAAGUUAUUUCAUAUAAUUGGAAGAUGAAGAUGAAAUUUCUAAAAGAAAAUCUCCUGGAUACUUAAUUCCCUUUGAUCACGUCCAAUUCUAACACACUAAAAGUGUGCGCAUCGCGUUUUUCAGCGACUUCUAUAGUGUAGGAGCGCCAGUUCUGCAAAUUGAAAGAUUAAUACGCAAAUAUAGGUCUUUUUUUAGGAUUGAGGUGCUAUAACUUUUAAGCUAUAGCUGCUAUGUGUUAAGGAAGCACACAUCAGUAGCAUAGACUGUAAAGCAGAGGAUAGCAGCAGCUCCAGCUUACAGUUAAGAGUUGAUGACAUGGCAUGCCAGCUGGCACCUGGUGGUUAUGUAAUCACUUGUUCACGUGAUAAUUAGUUGAAGUUGUUAUAGCUAGCUAGAAUUAGUUUUGUAAUGAGUUAACUAAUUGAGCUGAGCAUCAGUUGUGUAUAUAAGCAUCUCUGUGUACAGUUUCAUAAGUAAGUUUUAGAUGAAUAAAAUCGUAUGAGCUAAAAGCUUUCAGUUCUUAAAUUUUCUCAGCUUCCAAACAUCCUUUUUCUGAUUUCUUACUUCAGCUUCCAAACAUCCUUUUUCAUCUCAAGUGCUUGCUUCAAUUCGAGGAAAUAGACUUGAGAAAUUUAUCGAUGAGUCAAUCACUCCACCUCCUUCUCAUAUUGCUCAGAGAUAUGAUGAUGAGCUUAGAUCUGUGGAGAAUCCAGAAUUUGCAACCUGGAGAGCACAAGAUCAAAUACUUCUCGGUUGGCUUCUUUCAUCAAUGAGUGAAGGUAUCAUCAGUUUGGUGUUCAAUCUUGAGACUUCAUUGGAGGUAUGGAAAGCUGUUGAAACUCAAUUUGGAUCUCAAUCAAAGUCUAGGUUAUUACAUUUGAGAUAUUUGAUGAAUUCCACUAGAAAGGAUGAUCUUAAAAUGACUGAAUACUUCAUUAAAAUGAAAUCUAUUGCUGAUAACAUGGCUGCAGCAGGAAGUGCAUUAAGCAAUGAUGAUUUGAUUUUACAUGUACUCUCUGGUCUAGGUCCUGAUUAUAAUUCUGUUGCUACUUACAUCACUGGACAAGUAGGAACUGGAAAAAUGAAUGUUAAUGAGGCUUAUGCUAUGCUGUUAACUCAAGAGGCUAGGAUUGAUCAACAAACUCAUAUGCUUGCUAAUAUGGAUGUUAAACACAAUUUAGAAGCUAACUUUGCACAAAAUAGAGGACCUAAGAGAGGAAACUUCUCAGGAGGAAAAGGUUUUGGUAGUCUUGGAUAUAAUACAGGCUACAGUAAUGCUGGAAAUUCUGGAAAUAGUGGUUACAGAGGAAAUUAUGGAUCAUCUGGUUUUGCUGUUGGAAGUGCUGGAAAUAAUGGUUACAGAGGAAACUAUGGAGGAGGAGGAGGAGGAAACUGGAAUAAUAAUAAUGCUGUCAAUAAUGGCAAAACACCUGGAAAUCCUAAAUCUCAGUGGAAUCCUUCUAAGCCUACAUGUCAAGUUUGUCUCAAAAUAGGUCACACAGCUAAUGUAUGCUGGAAGCUGGAAGAAUUUAUUGCUUCAGGAGCUUAUAGACCACCUCCAAACAGGAAUCCGAAAUCUGCAUAUCUGGCAAACAUGGAAGGAUCAUCUGAUACAAAUUGGUACCUUGACAGUGGUGCCACUCACCAUCUCACAAAUGACAUGAACAAUAUGCAGAUUUCUGAAUCAUUUACAGGUACAUCUAAACUCAUUAUUGGUAAUGGUACUGGCUUGAAUAUUACAAAUAUUGGAAAAGCUGUUCUGAGAUUGCACAAUUGCACUGAUUCCACUGUGAUUAAACUAAACAAUAUACUUUUAGUUCCACAAAUAACCAAGAACCUUAUAAGCAUUUCUCAGCUAACCAAAGACAACAAUAUCACAGUUGAGUUUACUGACAAAUCUUGUUUUGUGAAGGACAAGGUGAAGAAUUUGAUCAUACUGCAGGGCAAGGCUGAAAAAGGCUUGUACAGAUUGCUAUUAGUGUCCUCAAAUAAAACUUCUGCUCAGUCUUCCUUUCAAGGUCAUGUUGCCAAUAUUGAGUCUUCUUUUCAGUCAUUUGUUCCUUUGUCAAUGCUAUCAACUGUCAAUCUCAGUCAGUCAAAUAAUCACUGCUUGCAAAAUGUGGCAGCAGAACCUUGUAUGAACUCUAAGUGUCUUUUAAGCACUUCUGUAUUACAUCAGAGGCUAGGUCAUCCUAACUCUAAGAUCUUAAACCAUGUAAUACAAUCUUGUUCCUCUUUCAAACCUAUCAAUGGAAAUAAAGAGUUUGAUUCAUGUGAUGCUUGUAAAUUUGGGAAAAUGCAUAGAUUACACUUUCCAACAACUGAAACAAAAACAAAACAACCUUUAGCCAUUUUACAUACUGAUUUAUGGGGACCAGCUCCAGUGGUUUCCACACAAGGUUAUAAAUAUUAUGUGAGCUUUGUGGAUGAUUUUACCAGAUUCACUUGGAUAUUUCCCCUGAAAACCAAAGAUGAAACUCUUCAUGUGUUCAAAAUUUUCAAAGCUCAAGUUGAAAAACAAUUAGAACAGCCCAUUAAAUGUCUUCAAUCUGACUGGGGAGGGGAAUUCAGAUCCUUUAGCAAAUAUCUUCAAGAAGAAGGGAUAGAAUUUAGACACUCUUAUCCUUAUACACAUAACCAAAAUGGUUUGGUAGAAAGGAAACACAGACACAUCACUGAAUCAGGUCUUACUCUUCUUGCACAAGCUAAAUUACCUAUCAAAUUCUGGUGGGAUUCCUUUCAUACAGCAGCCUAUCUCAUUAACAGAUUACCAACACCUAUUCUAGCAAUGAAAACUCCAUAUGAAUCAAUCUUUCAUCAUCAACCAGACUAUAACUUUCUAAGAACAUUUGGAUGUUCUUGUUUUCCUUUUCUCAGAGAAUACAAUAACCAUAAAUUUCAUUUCCAUACUUCAAAGUGUGUCUUCUUAGGAUAUAGUCCUUCACAUAAGGGCUAUAAGUGUCUACAUUCAUCAGGCAAAAUUUAUAUUGCCAGUCAUGUAUUGUUUGAUGAAACCACUUUCCCUUACAUUUCAGAUCCAAAUUUUUCUUCCUCUUCUAAACACACUUCCUCUGAUUUUCAAUAUAAUCUUUUUCAAAGGUUUACUCUGUCAGUUCCUAAUAGCAAUCUGAACAGUCUUGAAGCUACUGCAGCAGAUCAAUUCCCUGUCAAUCAUUCUUUAUCAUCAAAUUCACCUCAAUUUCAGUCACCCACAAAUCAGACCUCUACAUCUUUGCCUUCACCUGCACCCCAGUCACCAGCACCACAAAUACCCUGCACAACACAAACAUCUCAGCCUAAACCUUCUACUUCUACCCAUCAUAUGAUAACCAGAGCUAGAGCUGGUAUUUUCAAACCAAAAACCUUUCUAACAACUCACAACAGCUUAGAACCAUCCACUGUCCCUGAGGCAUUAUCAGAUCCUAAAUGGAAAGAUGCAAUGCAAACUGAGUAUGAUGCUCUUAUUCACAACAACACUUGGACUCUUGUGCCAAUGUCUUCAACAUACAAGCUAGUUGGUUGUAAGUGGGUAUUCAGAACAAAGUAUAACACAGAUGGAACUGUCAGCAAGUAUAAAGCUAGAUUGGUUGCAAAGGGAUUUCACCAAACAGCAGGGGUAGAUUAUUCAGAAACUUUCAGUCCAGUGGUGAAGUCUUCAACAGUUAGAGUUAUACUCAGCUUGGCAGUUAUAAAAGGGUGGAAAGUCAGACAAAUUGAUGUAAAUAAUGCAUUCCUUAAUGGAGAUCUUUCUGAGAACGUAUAUAUGACACAACCAGAAGGCUUUGUAACUAAGGAAGGGUACAUCUGCAAACUCAAUAAAGCUCUCUAUGGUCUAAAACAAGCUCCACGAGCCUGGUAUGAAAAAUUGAAGGGUUGUCUAACUACUUGGCAAUUUCUUAAUUCAAAGGCUGAUACAUCUCUAUUCAUUAAACAUGAUACAAGGGGCUUAAUCAUAGUAUUGAUCUAUGUGGAUGAUAUUCUAGUCACUGGACCAGAUUCUGCUUUACUAGAGGAUUUUAUUGUUAAACUCAGUCAGACAUUUGCCUUGAAAGAUCUGGGAUUAGUUGCUUACUUCCUAGGUGUUGAAGUUAGUUACUUUGAUGAAGGUAUGCAUCUAUCUCAAACAAAGUAUAUUAAAGACUUGCUGAGUAAAGCAUCUAUGGAGAAUUGCAAAGGGUCUGAUACUCCUCUUAGUACUGGUUUGAAGCUAGAAAGAAAUGUCAGGGGUCCUUUGGGUCAGGAGUUCGAAAAUCCAACACAAUACAGAAGCAUAGUUGGAGGGUUACAAUAUCUAAUUCUCACCAGGCCGGAUAUAGCUUAUUCAGUUCAUAAGCUCAGUCAAUACCUCAGUUCUCCUACUGUUCAGCACUGGUUAGCCUGCAAAAGAGUUCUUCGAUAUCUCCAGUCAACCAUCACCUAUGGUCUCUAUCUUAGAAAGGAAGCAACUCUGGAAAUUGGAAUAACAGGCUAUACAGAUGCUGACUGGGCUUGUGGUCUUGACGACAGAAAAUCAAUUGGAGCCUAUUGUAUAUACUUGGGUAACAAUCUGAUUUCAUGGUCUUCCAAAAAGCAAGCAAUUGUAGCAAAGUCAAGCACAGAAAGUGAAUAUCGAGCCCUGUCAGCAGCAUGCUCAGAAAUUUCUUGGUUGCAGUCUUUAUUUUCAGAACUCAACAUUGCUAAACUACCUACUCCAGUUCUUUGGUGUGAUAACCAAAGUGCAGGGGAGCUAGCUCGCAACCCUGUGUUUCACUCAAAAUCUAAGCACAUAGAGUUGGAUGUUCAUUAUGUUAGAGACAAAGUGCUUGGAAAAGAAUUGGAGGUUAGAUACAUUCCUACUGAAGAACAAGUAGCUGAUGUUCUGACUAAGCCCUUAUCUUUUUCUAAAUUCAGCUUUUUUAGAUCCAAGCUCAAUGUCGUUAGUAGACCUUUGAGCUUGAGAGGGGAUGUUAAGGAAGCACACAUCAGUAGCAUAGACUGUAAAGCAGAGGAUAGCAGCAGCUCCAGCUUACAGUUAAGAGUUGAUGACAUGGCAUGCCAGCUGGCACCUGGUGGUUAUGUAAUCACUUGUUCACGUGAUAAUUAGUUGAAGUUGUUAUAGCUAGCUAGAAUUAGUUUUGUAAUGAGUUAACUAAUUGAGCUGAGCAUCAGUUGUGUAUAUAAGCAUCUCUGUGUACAGUUUCAUAAGUAAGUUUUAGAUGAAUAAAAUCGUAUGAGCUAAAAGCUUUCAGUUCUUAAAUUUUCUUAGCUUCCAAACAUCCUUUUUCUGAUUUCUUACUCUAUGGGAAAAAAGUUGUAACUAUAAAAUGAAAAUUAAUAAUAUGUAGUAAAUGUAAAUUUUAAGUAAUAAUUUUGACAAAAUUAUUAAAGAUAUAAGAGAUUUUCUCUUAUACAAGUGAAAAAUCAUAUCAAUAUAGCUUCCAAACUACAGUAGCUAGUGUUUACCAAACACUUUAGUGUUGUAACUUUUACGCUACAGCUGCCCAACUUCAAUCCCAAACGCACCCAUAAUCAUCUUAAUUUGUAACACCAAGAUAUAUAUAUAUAUAAACACUUUAGUGUUGUAACUUUUACGCUACAACUGCCCAACUUCAAUCUCAAACGCACCCAUAAUCAUCUUAAUUUGUAACACCAAGAUAUAUAUAUAUAUAUAUCUGUGUGUGUGUGUGUGUAAAUUUUAGAGUUUGGUAAAAAAAUCAAAAUCAAAAUCACUUUUGUGAAAAUAAGUCCCUCCUACAGCUGAUUUUAAAAAGAAAGAAAAGAGAUGCUUUCAGAUUUUGAUUUUGAGAACUAAUUUUAUCCUUUAAUACAAUUCCAUAAAUAUCCUUACAAUUAUUACCCAAACCUAAAACUUCCCUCAUUCAAAUUGGAAAUAAAAUUAAUAUUUUAAUAAAUAUUUAUUGUAAUUCACACAUUCCCUUUGUUUACUCUAUUUCUUCUUUAUAUUUUACCAUUCCAUUAAAAGUUCUCUAUGGCAAAUAGGCAAGAUAGAGUAUGUCUUUCAUCGCCUUUUAACUAAAUUCAUGCAUAUUUAAUGCAAUUGAUUGGUGUAAUUCUUAAUAUAAUAUUUGUUUGUUUAUUUUGUUUGGAAUUGUUUAUUUCUAAAAGAUUUCAUGCAUGUUCAAUUGCAAUGUUUAUAAUUUUUUAUGCCGCCAGUCGAUGGUUCAAGUAUAUGAACUAUGAGUGUUUGUGAUUUUUAGUUUUUACGUCAUUUGUCAAUUCUUAACAAAUUAUUUUCUAUAAUAUUAUUGAUUGUCUUUUUUUCUUUUACUAUAUAUUUUAUCCGCCAUUCAUUUUCUUUUUUGUUCAUUAUAAUUUUUAAAGUAAUAUUUGUGUUAAAAUAUAUUUGCAAUGAUGGACAAACACUAGGAACUUAUCAAUCAAACUGAAACUAAUAACGCACCACGAGGUACGGCUAUAUGGAAUAGUGAGACUAUCAAUUUUUUUUAAUUCAUGUAUAAAAGUAGAUGAAGGACUUCACCCUGGGACCAUUUUACUAAACUAGAAUGGGAAAAUUUGGUCAAAAUUUUUUGUAAAGCAAUGGGAAGAGAAUAUAAUAAAUUACAAUUGAAAAAUAAAUGGGAUGCACUAAAUAAUAAUCGGAAAUUAUGGAAAGAUCUUAUUGAAAAGAAAACUGAUCUAGGAUGGAAUAUACAAAAGAAAAUAAUUGAUGCAUCUCCGAAAUGGUGGCAGAGUAAAUUGAAGUUAUUUCUGGGGUUGAGAUUGGAGAAAAAUAAUGGUUGUUUGCUACUCAACUUUUUAAUCGUAAAGAGAAAAGGGGGAUGUUUACAACCAUGAAAGAACCUCAAAUUAUGCUUAAUUGGCUUUACUAUGAGCAAUCACAAAAUUUGCAGUCUUAAAUAUUACUCUUCUCUUUUAACAGUAAUAAGGGAAUUUUUUUUUGUUAUGUAUUUUUUCCUUAUGAUGUUUUAAGGUACAAUUGGCUAUUUAAAUACUGACAGUAAGUUAUUAUUAGUUUUGAAUGUUUGUCAUAUAUUUUUUAUUUAUUUAUUUUUUAUUCAAGCUAGAUGAUAUGGGUUUAAAUUAUUGAUUUCAGGUUUUGUUUAUAAUAUGGGCUAGCCAGAUGUCGAGUAGGAGUUUGACAGCAGUACCGUAUCCACUUUUAUGAUGCACUGACAAUAUUAUGAACAUGUUUUUAUAACACUAUAAAAUAUUUGACAACUUUGUAAAACAAUGGAAAAGAUAAUUUAUAACAUUGUAAAAUUGGUUACGAAUUUUUUUAAAAUUUGAAAUUCCUGAACAUGAGAACGACUCUUAUAAUAAGAAUUUAUAAUAUUUUCACCUUUUUUUAUAAAAUUUAUAUUUAUCCACACUAUAAACAUCAAAAAAGAAACUCUUAGAUAACUUGAGAGAUAUGAGCCUAUGGGUUCGAUUGAUAUAGAUUUUCAAAUAGAGUUUAUUUCAGUAAACCUUUUGUUAAUAAAGCUUUUAUAAGUAGAGAUUUCACCCCAAAAAAAUAGUUGUUUGGUUGGUAAUAAAAGAUUUUAUUAAAAAUUAUAAAAUUACUUUAAUAGACAAGUUUUUAAAAGUUAUGUCAUAAGAGGAAUGAAAUAAAAUUGUUAAAUAAGUAGGAUGUUUUAGACCUUUUAAUUUUUUUAAAAAGCUUUUCAAUCUCUACUUUUAAAAGUACAAAAUUUGAGCUUUUACUAGUAUAUGUAAAAUAACUUUUUUAAUCUUUAAAAGCUCUACUAAAAAAAUAACUAAAUAACUAAGAAAAAUAAAAAAAAGCUUAUGAGAUUAAAUAAGUUCCUAUAACCAUUAAAUAAGUCAUACAAAAUAGACACCAUAUCAUAUUAGAAAAAAUCCUUAACCGACAAAAUUACAGGCCAACAACAAAUCCCAACCACCAUCCUGAAAAAAAAAAAGAAUUCAUAACAAUCACCAUAAUCCUAUCUGACGCCAUAUCGGCGGAUGAUGUCACCAAUAAUAAUUAUAAUGAUAAAACUAUUAAAAAAAAUUAUGGUGCAGUCAACUGCCAUGCCUGGCGGGUUCGCUUGUGGGUUCAAAGCCGCUGUCCGAGCCGUGGUGGAUGCCGACGCAUUUCAUAAUUUAUCUCUACUUCUUUCCCUUACAGAUGGAAAAUGGUAAAUUUUCAAAUUGUUUAUCUUUCUUUUUUUGGUUUUUAUUAUUGCAUAACUUUUAAAUGUUUGCCUAAUUCUUGUUUCAAAUUAGCUGGCAUGUUUAAAUUUGUUGCUUUACUGAGCUUAAUGUUCAAUUUGUAUGAUCACAAGCGAGGGAUCCUGUGAUCUUUAUUAAGCUAAAAUUUUUGGCUUAAUGUUCAUAAGAAUAUAUCUCUUUGGAUUCUAAUACGAAGCUGGUUUAGCUGUUCAAGUAGACCAGUUAGUUUUAAGUUGUUAAUUUUGGAUAUACUUAUGAAGAUGGGGCAUCUAUAGCCGACUCUUCUCCAUUUAGAACCUUCUCUUUGCUCUUUUCUAGUUAAAUCUUUACUUAUCUUUCAGUUCUCAAACUUAGAUGGCGUUUGUUUUUUUAUCUGAAAUCUGAAUAAAUCUUAAUUUUGAAUAGAAUUAAAUGUCUGAAUCUAAUUGAUAUGUGUGUUUUUUUGUUUGAAUUGCUAAAAACAAAUAUUAGGUUAUUUGUUUUUUAACUUAAAAAAUCUGAAAAUUAAUAUUUUUACAUUUGUACCCUUACAAAUUAUAAAAACUAAAGUAAUAAACAUCUCAAAAAACUUAAAUAAGAUAAUAUAUUAUCAUAAUAUGAAUCAUAUUUAAUUAAAUACAACCCUUUAUAUUCUAAAUUAGUAUAUGUUAAUCAAUUUUAUUGUAGCUCAUGAUGUUUUUAUGUGAAAAUAUUCAUAAAAAAUUAUGAAGAUAGAUAAUGCUAAUUUGAAGAAAACAAAAAGAUAAAAAUAAUAAUAGUCUAUCACUAUAUUGUCACAAGUUAUACAAAUUGGUAAUAAUGUUGAUUAUUAAAUUUUAUUUAGGUAAUGAUGAAAAUUCUUUAAUUAGGUAGGGAUAUUUUAGAUAAUAUCUUUUAACAAUAUCAUUAAGACUUUUUAGAUUAAGUAAAAAGAUAAAAAAAAUUGGCUUAAUAACUUAAUGACUCAAUGACUUAAUGACUAAAACUUUUCAUUGAGUUGAAAAAAAUGGACUUAAUAGCUUAAUUAAUUAAAAUUAAGUCAAGUAAGUUAUUAGGUCAAAAAAACAAAUAGCCUCUUAGAUAGUAUUCAAAUUUAGAAAUUGAAUUUCUGUUGUACAUAGAGGAAAAAUUUACUGUGUUUAUUAGCUGAGGCUUAACAAUCUGAAAAGUCAAGUAAACAUUACUAGUAGUUUAUUCUUAUGGAAAUUGGAACUGUAUUCAGAAUGAUGUUGCGGCUACUAAAAGGUUCUAUUAUGUUUUUCAUCAUUUUGUUUCCGUGAAGAUGGAAAAUGAACUCAUUUGGUUUUUGUGAUGUUUACUGAUUCUGCUUGUAAGAAGGGGAAAAAAAACUAGUUUGCAUGAGAAAUUGUAAUACCCAAAUUCUCAUAAGGAUUUUUUAGCCAUUUCCAAGCCUUAAUAGUGAGAAUUUAUAAAUAAAUCAAGGUAUUAGAAGCAUAAGCAUGGAUUAAAGAAAGGAACCAUUCAUACACUGGUUAUUAGAGCAGUUUAAUAUGUGAUGUUUGUCAAUUUCUUUAGGAAUUUUUCUCUUAGAAACCAAAAACAAUCUUUAAGUCAACAGUUCGAAAACUUUCCUUUUUUUCAAAUGGGUGGUUCUUGUUCAUAUGCCUGGGAUUCAGCGUCUAUAAAUAUAUUCUCAAAAAGCAGCAAGCUGCAGAGUUAUUUUACUUUAUUCCGAAUUUUUUUAUAUAAUAUUUAAAAUUUUCUUCUAGCAGGCAUAGACUAGGAAAAUCCCCUUCAAAUCUUAUAAAUCAAAGCUGGGAUUCAGGUGUGACCUGUGCACGACUAAAAAAAGAGAACUGAGCAUGAAUGGCUUCUGUCAAUUUCAAACCUGCCUUCAUUUGAUUUGGAAAUAACUUUUUGUAAUGCUCCUGUACGUCAAUGAUGCAGUCUGUCCUAAGUUUGCAACCCCAUGUUAGUCCAUGGUGUAUGCUUCAAAAAUAAAUUUUAGGUUGUUUCUUUAAACUCUAUUCCAUGUUAGCAAUCUUUUGUCAUGUCACUUAUUUACUGUACGUUUCUUAAACAGGAAAACGGGGUGUAACAAAUUGGAAAUAGUUAUGUCACAUGUUCGACUUUUGGAGCAAACUGUGAAGGGCAGCACAUUGGUACGACAGCGUGAUGGUUGAUCACUCUUUUCCCCUAGCCACCUCAAUAAUAGCAAGUGGUAGGCCCAGUAGUUUACAGUGAGCCGUGAGCCGUGUCAUGCACCGCUUGGAGAAAAGGAAAAAAAAAAAAGAAGCCAAACGUGGCAACCUUCAAAAGCACUUGGUCAUGCAUGCUUGAAGCGGUGGCAUAUAUAUAUAUAUAAAAUGCAACCUUUUGAUAAUUGCUUCAUUUACCAAAUUGGAGAACCGAGAGCAAAAACAGAGCAAGACCGAGAGCAGAAAAGAAGAGAAACCGAGAGAAAAGAGAAGAGAAAAGAGAAGAAAAAGAAAAAGAAAAGAAAGGAAGAAAAGGAAGAUGCCGAGAGUGGGGAAGAGAGAAAUUGAAAGGAAAAGUUACUGAAAAAUAGAAUUGAAUAGUUAGAUUAAAAUCUAGUAACUUAGUGGGUAAUAGAUUUAUGAAGUUUGAACAAUUAUGUUAUAGUUUACAUGACACACAUAAGUUUUAUAAUAGUUCUAAAAGUAAUUUUCUAAUCCUGUAUUUUAGGAGGAACUCGAGAAUCCGAGAACGCACAAGAGCUCCAACGAACCCCAAAGCGAAACAUGAUUUAUGAGUGGACACUAUUAAUAUUAUUAUAGAUUCCGUGAAAUAUUUAUAUUUGAUAUUAUGUUUUAAUAUCAUGUUAUAAUUACAUGUAUACAUAUUAUAUGUUUGAUUGAGUCAUGAGAUGUAAUUGCCAGUCACCAUCUAUGUACCCUUCCUUAUAGGCUCUGCGCAUAAGUAUUGGGAAUUAGGUUACUCUACCCGUGCGAGAUAGUUUAAUUACACCGGGUAUUGAGAGGUGUUUUCCCCGCUCUACUCGUGCGAUGAUGUUCCCGAAAAAUAUUGAGAGUUAUUCCCCUGGGUACUAUUUGGUGCAACUUAUGAUGUAUGUAUGUAUGAAUUUCAUAUCUGCUGAUGUAUGAUAUUCAGUGUGGAGUUAUGUCGCAUGAUUAUGUAUAAGCAUUAGUACACAUAUGUUAUUAUUAUUAUUAUUAUUAUUAUUAUUAUUAUUAUUAUUAUUAUUAUUAUUAAUAUAUAUAAUUACAUCCACUCACUGAGCCGCAAGUGCACUAUUUUCUUAUUUACCCACUUCCUUCCAGGUUUCCGCAGGAUUUCGUGCAGACCAAUUUCUAGUCAGUUGAGGUUGGGUCACAAGACGCAUUACUGAAUAACUUGCAUUUUGAGCACAUUUAUGUUGCUUAUGUUUAUAUAGUUUCAGUGUAAGUAUGUAUAGUAAGACAUGAACUGUGCAAGUUUUGAAUGUAUAUUUUCGGAUGAGACAUAGGGGUUAUUAUGUGCUUAUAUCAGAGACCAUGUUUAUAUAUGUAUAUAUUCAUGAAUUAAAUUUGUGCCAUGAGUUUUAGUAUUAGUCCACACGAUUCACCUCAAAUUCGACAUGUAGGUCGGGGUGGGUCGUGUCAAGCCGCCUGAUAUUAUUAUACUUUUUUGGGAUGGAUACCGUAAGAGCCAGCUCGCACGGUAUAGCUUGCUGUUACAGCCUUAAAACUCGAGGCACACCAAUGCUUGGCUUGCGGCCUUGUGCCAAGCAUAAUGAGGCAGCGGACGUGCGAGAAAACAAGGCAAGUCUGCAUGCGGGCUGGGGCGUGGCAGCAUGCGAGAUAUGUGCAAGGCAGCGCACAAGUGCUUCGAGGGUAUAGCGCGCACACAAAUGCGCACGCUGAUGGGCAGCGGGCGAGCGUAAGCAGUCCCAAGCAGCAUGCGCGCACACAAAGCGUGCCAGGCAGCGCGCACGCGCACGCUAACGGAUAGCGGACAGGCGCGCCAAUGGAGUGCACAUGCACAGAACAUGUGCCACACACAAGCAUCAGGCCAAGGGGAUUGUUGGAGCAAUUCUUAGUGGCGGCGGCCCGCCACUACAUGGGCACUACCUAAAAUGGGGAUCUUGUCUAAGUGGGGAUGGUCCGCCACUAUUCAAUGUAUCCUAAAUAAUAGUGUAUGGGCAAAGCACUUAGGUAGUGGGCUUAUUUGUUUAUGUGUGCUGGUGGCAAAUAAGGCAUGGGUUGGGAAUACUCUAUACUAUCCUAGUAAGUGGGGUUGUCACUUACAGUGAGUGGUAUUCUCCAAGCACUCUUGUUGGAAGCUAUUUGUAGUUCCUUGUUCUUGAUUAAUAAGAAAAGGUUUGAAGUCGGUGCUUCCGUAAAUGUCGUGUGCCUUGUGUUUGUGUUUCGUUUGUUGUAUCGUUGAAAAUCUUGGGGUGUGUUGCACACACAUAGCCUCCGUUGCGAAUUGUCGAGUGGCUGGCUAAGCGGGAAACUUAGCGCCAUCACGGGCUUGCCGCAUCGAAGAAAAUAGCCUUGUGACACUUGCCAUGAUUGACAUGGUUCCAGUUAGCACCUGGGUGGUUCGAACUAACUUAUUCAUCUUCCCCAAACCAAAUUAUGAAUAAACUCACUAUUUUAAGGAGGAAAACUUCAUUUAGGUAGUUGUCUGAGCUCCUCGGAAACUUUCAUAUGUAUAUUUCUUUGAGAGAUGUAUAUUUGGAUGUUAUCCACUGCUUCCUUAAAUUAUUUAGCUGCGGAAGAUGAUUAAUCGAAUAGGUUAUUUUUUAGUGCUAAGUUUACUGGCAGAGAUGGGUUGCAUAAUAAUGGGUUUUGUGGUUCAAAAAUAUAUAGAGCAUCUGGGAUACGAAAUGAAGGUAUUAAGGUGUUUUGCUUUCUUAAUUGGUAUUUUCUUGGGUUGUGGAUUUCAGUUCCUUUGCAUGAUUUUAUUUUUUAUUUUUCCCUCAAGUUAUACUUCUCCAUUUUUUUGUUAAAAAUUCCAGACCGUGGCAUUCAAUUGUUAAGUAAGGAACAUUAUCAGACAACUUCGAAUAUGUAAUAAAAACUUUAAAGAUAUGGUAACAUAUUUGAUAAUGCCUAAUAUCACGUACUUGAAAUUCCUUUAAAGAGAAGUUUUGCAUAUUGUUAUAGAGCAUUUCUUCGUCCAGGUCAUGAUAGUAGACUGAUGGUUUUAACUGAACUGGGGAGAGGAAUUGAGGGUGAAAUUUUGAAAGCAGGCAAUGGUAUUGGAGUGACAUAUCAAAAACACUGUUAGAUAAUUAAAUCACAAACUAUGUAAGGAGAGAAAGAUUUUAUUCACAAGAUGAAGAAGAUACAUCUAGUCAAGGGGACUUACAAGCCUUAUCCCUUUUGAUUUGGUAAAAUCUCGAACAAGAUUGUGAUGUGGUGAAAGUAGAAAAUGAUUGAAAAGUACAGGACCAUUUACUUGGAAAUAUAAACAAUUCAAUAAUAAAUUUUACAAACUAGACUAAAUCUUUAACAAUUGAGACACUUUCUGCAUGGUUGGUCUGGAUUCUGGACUCUCAUCCAAACAUGAAAUAGCGACUUCUAUGAUUGAUAUCAAUUUGUCCCGAAUAUUGCAUGAUGGGGUUGGAAGCCGAGGAUCCAAUAUUUCAUCAAGUGCUAUGUCCAAGUUUGAAGAUGAAGAGCAAAUUGAGGAAAUGAAAUCUCUUGGAUGCUUUCCUUUUAUCACUUCCAAUGCUAAAAUUCCAAAGCUAUACACGUCGCACUUUUCAGUAACUUUCAUUGUGUAUGCGAGCUCUGAAAGGGAAAAAUAAAAAUAAUUUUUUGUAACGUGGAAUCUAGUUAAUAGAUAUUAGUUAGUAUAUUGUACAUGUUUGAACAACAAUAUAGGUACCUGGUGCAACAUAUCCAAAUGUGCCUACAAGUUCUGUCCAAUUGGAUGAGUCUGGCUUGAGAAACUUGGCAAUUCCGAAAUCUGAAACAUGAGCUUCAUACUCCAAAUCCAACAACACAUUCUUGCUUGAUAUGUCUCGAUGAACAAUUGGAGGGAAGCAAUCGUUGUGCAAGUAAGACAAUGCAUCAGCUACACCUUUUAUCACAUUCAUUCUUUGUGUCCAGCCCAAUUCCUUUGCUGCUGCGUCAUUGCUGAGGACCAUGGCCAAGCUACCGAUUUCAAGAUAUUCAUAAACUAAAAAUGAGUGUUGGACAUGUGAACAAACGCCGUAAAAUUUCACAAUGUUACGAUGCCGUAUCUCAGUCAAUGCCUUGACUUCAUUCAUGAAUUCUUGUUGAUAUGUCAUCUCACCUGGGAGUGGCGAAUGAAAUUUCUUGACUGCAAUGAUUUCUCCAGAAGGUAGAUUAGCUUUGUAUACACUUCCUUGUCCACCUUUUCCAAUGCAGUGCUCAUCAUCAAAACCAUUCGUUGCCUAAUGAUUUCUUCGUACACGAUUUUUCCUUCAAAGGUUAACACUGAAAGAAAUCCUCGAGUACCUCUAGGGCUACUCUGUAGUGUUUGUAAGGCAUUUUUCCUUCUUCGGAAAAUAAAGAACAAUGCAAUCAAAGAAAUCAAAAGAGCAACAGUCCCUAAGAGAGGGAAUACAAUAACAACCCAAAUCUUUCUCGAAGCUGGUUUGUGUGACUUGGAUGCUUUACAAGAUUGAAAUCCUUUGAUAUCUCCACACAAUCCUUCGUUCCCUUGUAAUGCUUCCAUCAGAGCAUCGCUGAAGGCUGUGCUGUUAGGAAUCGGUCCAUGUAACUCAUUGUAGGAUAUGUCAAUAUACAAAAGACCAUUCAUUUCCUCAAAGCAUCUUGGAAUGAAAUCAGAAAGGUUAUUGUGGGAGAGGUUCAACAUUUCUAGGCUUCGCAUAUUGCAGAUUUGAGAUGGUAUUUCUUUUCCGAGAAAGUUAUGACUCAAAUCUAACUCUGAAAGAUGAAUGAGCUUCUCCAAUUUGAUUGGAAUUUCUUGAAUGAACUGAUUGGUGCUCAAGUUCAAGUAAUGCAGUUUAACCAAGUUACCAAGACUCCUUGGAAUUGAAUUGCUUAAUCUAUUCGAAGAUAAGUCAAGGUACUCGAGUUGAAUGAGUGAGCCGAGUUCUGAAGGCAGCUGUCCAAAAAGUUGAUUCCUUCUUAAGAUAAGCUUGAUAAGAGAACUAAGCUUGCCAAUUUCUGAUGGAAUCUUGCCAAUAAUAUGAUUUGCAGAAAGAUCAAUAACGUGUAAUUGAGAUGAGUCUCCAAUCUCAGGAGGUAGGCUGCCAAUAAUAUUAUUUACGGAAACAUCGAAAGUGCCUAAAUUUGGGCAUUUUCCCCAAUCAGACGAGAUUUGACCAUAAAAGUUAUUGUGGCUAAGAUCUAUGAAAGUUAACUUUGGAUGAAUACCGAAAGAUUCAGAUAUAUUACAAGUGAGAUGGUUUCUGUUGAGACGUAGUCUUAUUAGGUUUGUCAAAUUUCUCAAAUUAGGAAUUGAACCUUGUAAUUGGUUAUCGCUUAAAGUUAGCAUAGUUAAUUUCACUAGGUUUCCUAAUUCUUCAGGAAUAACACCAGAAAGUGCAUUAUCGUAAAGAGCCAAGAGAGUCAUGUGAGUUAAAUUACCCAAAGAAUGAGAGAUUGAGUUACUGAGUUUAUUGUCACCCAAUUGUAGCUCGAAAAGAGACUUUAAGUUUCCAAUUUCUCUUGGGAUUGAACCUAAAAGUGUAUUGCUAUGAAGAUACAAGAUAGCCAAGUUGGUCAAGUUACCCAAAGAAUGAGGGAUCGAGCCACUAAGUUUAUUUUCGCUUAAAUCUAGAUUGGAAAGAGACUUCAAAUUUCCUAUUUCACUUGGAAUUGAACCAGAAAGUGAAUUUUUAUAAAGAUAAAAGGCAGCCAAGUUGGUCAAGUUACCCAAAUAAUGAGGGAUUGAGCUACUGAGUUCAUUGUCAGCCAAUUCUAGACCGGAAAGAGACUUUAAGUUUCCUAUUUCACUUGGAAUUGAACCAGAAAGUGAAUUUGUAUAAAGAUACAAGGUAUCCAAGUUGGUUAAGUUACCUAAAGAAAGAGGGAUUGAGCCAUUAAGUCUAUUUUCACCUAACUCUAGAAUGGAAAGAGACUUUAAGUUUCCUAUUUCACUUGGAAUUGAACUAGAGAAUGAAUUAUUACGAAGAUACAAGGUAUCUAAGUUUGUCAAAUUACCCAAAAAAAGAGGAAUUGAGCCACAAAGUUUAUUGUUGCCCAAUGCUAGAGAGGAAAGGGACUUCAAGUUUCCUAUUUCACUUGGAAUUGAACCAGAAAGUGAAUUAUUAUGAAGAUACAAGAUAGCUAAGUUAGUCAAGUUACCCAAAGAAGGAGGGAUUGAACCUUUCAAAAAGUUUGAGGUCAAAGCAAGUUCGUUUAGAGAGCUUAAUCCCCCUACUUCAUGAGGAAUCGGGCCACUUAGUUGAUUCUUGAACAAGUGAAGGGCCUCGAUAUAACUUAGGUGGCCAAUUUGUGGUGGUAUUCUUCCAGAAAAUUGAUUAGCGGAUAAAUAAAGGAACUUGAGCAUGGAAAGG